Molecule: long non-coding RNA, 48094 nt
Filed under: Lathyrus oleraceus (garden pea)
Lineage: Eukaryota; Viridiplantae; Streptophyta; Magnoliopsida; Fabales; Fabaceae
Description: Pisum sativum (pea) long non-coding RNA (PSAT_LNC029954)
Source: RNAcentral
GGUAAUUGACCAAAAUGAGUACAAAAUAAUCAAAUCCAAUAAGUCGCAAUGUGCUCGAAACCGGUUUAUACAUAUCGACCAUCAAAACAUCGUAUGCGAAGGUGAAAACACGGUGAAAUAUUCGAUUACUUUAUUGAACCGUUGGUGGCAUGGCGACAUAAGUCGUUGAAUCCAUUAAUUAAAUCGGGCAAGCAUGGGACGGAAUAAUAAUAUAAAACUCUAUUGCCAUAUUUACACAGCGAUCAAGCAUCUUAUCCAUAAUAUAUUGAUUUAAAAUGAGUGUCACAAUGAUAGCACAUAAGAUUGUAUACAGGACGCAGGACGCAUUCACCAGUAUAUGCAGUAGCAAAAUAAUCCCAAGCGGUAUAGGCAUUAGCAACGUGCAUUUUCCAGAAAUUUAAUAAGUUGGACUCAAGAAAUCCAACAGUAAUAAAAUAACAACAACUCUAAUCCAAAAUUUCAACAAAAUCACGUUUUAAACACACACUUAAACAUACAUUCAAAUCAGAUCCGCAACCCAGCAUACGCACAACAAAGAUUGAAAUGAUCAUAAACAACACAGCCGUAAUCAACAUAUUAGUUUUAACCCAACGAUUUCAUCAUGAAAUAAAAAAAUGAAAUUGUCACAACAGCACACAACAACGAUAGAUUGGAAGAAACUUGAAGUUGUUACCGAAACGUGACUCUUCGAAACUUGGAGCUGUUUGAGUUUGUUGUUGUUAUCCGGACGUGUUGGUGAUGUCGCUGUAAUUACUUCAGUCCCAAAUUCCAAGUCUGGCUUAAAAAGCGAAGAUACCGACGAUGAGAAAACACAAGCUCUUGGGUGUUGUUACUGUGCUGUGAUCCAUGUUUCCCAUAGCUCGCCACUCAUCUGCAUCGCUGCUUGUGCGUUCAUUUUCCUGUCAACAAUAACAUCCAAAUUCCACAAACCCAGUUCAGAAAAAAGAACUUAGAAGUGGGUUUCUUCUCAAGUUAACACCCAUACUAUGGUUUACCGAAACUGAAAUCAGUCAUUUUCCAGAUUUUCAUUUGCGUUUUUUGGUGAUUUGUGUGAUGUUUAGGGUUUAGCGGCGGUAGAGAGGCGAUUUGGGGGUUUUGAUGAAGGUGUUGAAGGGUUUGACGGUGGUUUUGUGAUGGCGGCGGAGUGAGCGAUUUGGGUUUCGUGAGAGGAGGCGGAGGUUGUGAUGGGUUUUGGAUGGUGGUGUUGGCGGUAGACGGCGGCGUGAAGUGGUGAGUGAGGGACGAUUUUGAGGGUAGUGAUGAGGGUUUGUUGGUGUAAAUCGGUGGGUUUUGUGGUGGUUGUGGAUUUGGUGGGCGGAUGAAGGCAAGGCGAUGAUGAUGACGGCGAGGGUUUUGGUUUUUGCUGUGAGCGGAAGAUGAAGAGUUUAUGGUGGUGAAGAGAGUGGUUUGUGGGUUACGGAUUUUCUGAGUGAGAGAGAGAAAUGCGUGUGUGUGGAGUGUUUUCAGAGAGCGAAAUAUGAGUGUGUAGUGAGUGAAAGGAGACGUUGAGUGGAGAGAUAUAGCGUGAGAGAGGGACGCGUGAGGGAUCUCUGAGAGUGAGUGAGGGAGUGAGGGUUGAGUGGGUGAGGUGACCAAUGAGAGGGUGACACGUGUGAGAGUUUGUUGAGAGGAAAAUCUAAACCGAUUUUCUCCUCCUUUUUUUUUGUUUUCUUCGUAAGAGGGGGAUCCAAUGUAAAAAAUAAAUAUAUUUUUCACACUUAUUAUUUAAAAUCAUUAUUUUUUAAAGAAAUGGAAUUAUAAAACGAAUUCUAAUUAAUACUUAAUUCAAACAAAUUUUAAUUUUUUAAUUAAAUAACUAAACCAAAGAUUAUUGACCAAUUUAGAAAAUAGAAAUUGAGCGCAAAUUUUAUUCGGAAAAUUAAGCCGGUCACACUAAAAUUGUCAGCACAAAACAUACUUAUUAAAAAAUACAGUCUUUUCCUCGAAUUUUAACGAUUCAACCGAUUUGUCUGUAUUCUCAAAAUAAAUUCAUUCCGACUAACAUUUCAGGUAUUAUUCAUGAUGCAAUGUAUGUCAUGCUAUGCAUAUGAUGCAAAAAAUAAAAAUGAAAUUAAUUCUACAAAAAUUUAAAUAUGCCCGGACAAAAUUGGGGUAUGACACCAUCGAACUUUAUUUAUUCCUAAAAGGGAAAGGGGAAAUAUCGAUAAAACCCAAGACAAAAGAAAAGGAUAAGAUAUGGUCAUCGCAACCAAUAUCAGGGUUCGGGAGUCGAUUACGCAAGGGGAAGGUAUUAGCACCCCUCACGUCCGUUGUACUCAACGGGAACCAUUAGGUNNNNCGCACACACACAUGCGGAGCACGAGGAUGAACUAACAAAAGAUAUUAUGAUAGUAUCAAAUGUUGAACUUGUGGGAACUUGUAUGACUAAUUCAAGAGAAUACCAGGUUCAAAGCCAGGCUACUGCAGAUAUAAAAAGGAAGGGUUCCUUCAUUCUCAGUUUCCGGGAUUUUGAGGCGUGAAGAUUGUGUGUCCAUCAUGACUUUCACUGCUUGUACCCUUUAUAUGUGAGCUCCUAUAUUAGACGUAUCUUGUGAGCAAGCCAUUAUAAGUAGAUGAUAGCUUGGCAUUUGGGUGUUCAUUGAGUGUAAGUGUUGUGGUCACUCGAAGCUUUUAAGUGUGAGUGCUGUGUAUCUGGGUUAAUGGCUGGUGAAGCCUAACCAACGCAGUUGUUUUUGAAGUGUGCACUUCCAAGUGUGUUUAAUUCACUGAGUGUGACUCCGCAGCGCGUGGAGUCGACGCACGCGCACACUGACUCUCACGCGUAAGAUUGAAAUUCGCUCGGCGCCCUGGAAAGUGAUAAAUCUUAAACGGGUGCGUUUAGCUGUAAGUGAUACUACUAAGUAGUGGAUUUCCUCCUGGCACACGCGUAACGACCACACAGCACAUCAGCUCACGGUCAUGUUGGACUGAACUGGUGAACAAUAACUCCCGCUACGCUAUACUCUCACUACUGACUUAACGGUUAAGCUUCCUGCUAUAAUCCUGUCCUGUGCAGACAUUGGAUGUAUAAAACUGUGUGACAUCAAUAGUCGAUAACUAGAAUUUCAAUUUUGGAUUUAAAAUGAUAGAGUUAUGCAUUUUUGAAGUUUGGAAAAAUUACUUGAUCAAGUGGUAUAGGUCAAAGUGACCAUAAUGUAACCUCAUAUCACAUUUCGAAAAAAAGUUGAAAAUUACGCUCUCCACUCCAAACAUCAAGUUAUAGUAGACAGCAUUGAACUUUGAUGGUACAACUUGGAAAUCUUCAUAUACAAACAAUUGAGAAAGUUAUGUGCCAUUAGGAAAAUUGACUUUCCAAAUUAGGAGUUUAACAACAUGACCUAAUAAUGUUUCAAUAUAAGAAAAUGAAUUUUCCAAGAAAACUAGAUUCAGGAUAACAUGAAAGUCGUUUGGAAUGUCAUUUAGGGUAAGUUUCUCCUUGAGAUCAUUUUCAAUAAUGGUGAAAAGUGUAAUUAGAUAGGGUCUAGGGAGCACGCAUCUUUAAUCAGCAUGAAUCCAUCUGGCCAACCACCAUCAACCAACUCGCUAAUCAAUCCCAAUUCUUUAUCUUUCUCUGGCAUCAUGGUACGAUAUUAAUAUGCAAAAUUAUGAUGAAGUUUUGAAGUGUACCCCUUGGAACUUUGAUCAAUUGGUGAGAUAUCUUGUGGGAGACAUUACUCAACGAUACCCAGUCAAACUAGGGUUCCAAUGUAACCAUAACCCAAAACUCUGAAGAAAACUUGAUCAAUAUAAUAGUAGAGAACCAUUGGUGUCAACCCCGAUCUUAGGUUCUGAAUUUUUUCCAUUUUUUCAUUCUACAUUCUGGAACGUUGGCCUAAAUUUAUUUGCAUACAUUCAGACCGAAAAGGCAAACCGCCAUUCCCAAAUCCAUAUUUUUUUUAUAAACAUUGGUUAUUAAUCUAAGCUUUUUUGAUCAUGUUCUCUUUUUGAUUACAAAUGGAUUUUAGUUAUUUAAUUUUUUAAAUUGUCAAUUUCAAUCUUAAUUUCAAACUAAUCAAUUCCAAAUUCGACAAUUAAUCUUAAAUUGUUUUUUUAGCUAAUGAUCUUCAAGACUCUAAUUGAUUUUUAUUUCCUGAAUAAAUGUUACGAAAUGACUAUCAAGAGUAAUUUAAUCAAAUUAUCAGACUAACUUUGAUUUAAUUGGUUUAUUGAUUUUUGAUUUUAAAUGAAACAUUUAGAUUGACGUUUUAGAAGACAUUUUCAAAAUAAUCCAUAUCAUUUCUACCAACCACAAAUUCAUUUCAUUCAACCAAAUUCACAUUCAUUACAGCCAUUCAAAUGUCCAAAUAUAUCAUUUCAUUCAUUAACAAUCCAAUACUUAGAACAACCGAUCGUUCAAAAAAUCAACACAACAAGCACACAUCCCAUAUGCCCAUCUCAAUCCAUUUCUUUAAAAAAAAUCAUUUAGCAAUAACAUAAACCAUUAAUAAUAUUAACCCACAUCUCAUUUUAAGCCAUUAUCAUCAUUCAAUAAAUAUCGAAUUAACCAUCAAAGCAAAUUACAAUCUCAUAUCAUAAGUCAUUACAUGCAGAUAACCUGCAAUAAAAAGAAAGUACAAUCACGGCCAAGUACGAAAACCAAACGCGACAAGCACGCACGACGGCAGAAAUGCAAGCUACCAAAAGCAUUAGAAUGGCAGUAACACAACAGAGACGACAAUGCAAAACACAAACGAAACGCGCACUCACAUGCAAAGCUGAACCAAAUCAGAAAACCACAACCACCGACUGCAAAAUGGGAUGCGAGUCCGACGGUAACGAUAAAACUUCACAGAAACAACAAUCUUUAAGCGCAAUCAACCCAUCUCUCUCUUUUCCAUCCAAAGUGCCGGUGAAUCCCAAAACCUCACGCCUUUCAAUCUCUGUUCCCGCAUUCACAUUCUUAGCUCCAUCUCAGAUUUUGUAAGCGUCAUCGCUACACUCCGAGAAGGCUAAGACUACUUACAUAAGGCAAGGUGCUCCCCAAUGGAAACUUGGGGUGAAACUUUAAUGCGCUACCUCUUCCUGAGAAUUGGCGGAAGAAAGUCCUGCAACACUUGCAAACGCAUAACCCAUGCACUGAUAAUUGCCCAGUCAAGUCUAUUCGUUAGUUGGCGCAUCAAGAAAGCUGAAGCAUGUGGUUGUCCAUGUGCCGACCCUAUACCAAUUUCACGACAAUAAUGUCUAAUGCGUAUGGCACACAAUACAACACACUUUACAAAUAUCAUGACAAGAAAACCAUACACAGAAACAACGGCAACCCUCUGAUAUAUUAAAAGAAAGAACAAUAAGGCAAUGGCAAGGGGGGAGGUUUGGAGCCAUCCAUAACACCCGCCAGCUUAUCAAGGUUCUAGCAUUUGCUGCAAGGAUCUUGUUUCUUGCGCAGCAUGCCCCGUGUUUUCUCCGACCUGAUUCCAAUUUAAGCCGUUUUGCUGGACUUUCUUCUCACCAGCACUGCUUUUGUGGCUUUGGUUACAUUAGACUUUGAGAGAGCCAAAGAUUGAGGCUAAUCAUCCCUGUUGGAAGAAAUUGGGCGAUGUUAACCAGCAAUUAUUGACACAGUAGUAAGCAUAAGUGAUGCCAAGAAGUUGAUCCAUACUGCAGCAGCACCUGCUCAAUCACUUGCCAUUGGAACUCCUGGAAAUAUCACUCUCUCCUAUGGAAAAGACAAGCUGCAAAUUACCAGAAAGAUGUUUCAUCGUCAAUAUCCAAGACCGGAUGUAAAUAGAGACAUAUGGCCGAAUCCUGCUGACCGAAUCGAUAAUGCGGAAACUAUCCACCGGUUACCGGGUUGCAAAUUUGGGAAAACGUGGCAUCGCAACGCCAUUGUAGUUCUCAGUGACCUGAGCGACAGUACGUUACAAACAGCCUGCGCGCAAGACAAUCCGUGCAACCAAAAACCAGUCCCUACAUCAAAACCACCGCAAACGUUUCAUGACAGAACAAACCAUGCAUAGCAGCAGCAAACCAUUAGCCAAGCUAACAAUCAAUUUGCUAUAAUGACAACCAAAGCAGGACCAAGAUCCUGAUCAAUGUUUCAUAAACAUCUGUCUAAUCACCACAAAGAACAUGUUUCAUUUCACAGGAUGGUAUAGUAGAUCGAAAGCUUACCAGCGGAUGAUUUUGAUAUGAAUUACGUGGCAUUGUAACUCAUGAUUCUUUGGAGGUCCAUUGGACCGCGUUUCCUCAAGUGAUAUCAGUAUUUGCUCAGUAUGCCAAAGUAUAAUUUCUUAAGGAUGUUGCCCCCCUAAACAUUUGGGUAGUGGAACAUGGGAUUGCAAUGCAGAUCCGGUUGGAACUUCCAGAUUGUGACAACUGUUCGCAGAGAAAGUCUCACCGCAUUCCUAAAAACAUCAAUAGUAUAAAAUUGAAUUAAUUAAUCAACGUUGAAUGUGAAGAUACCUGAGAGUGGAGCCCUACCAGCGCAGAAGUACUUUCUUCCAUAGAUCAAAUUGAUAAUCUUAAUGCAAGCAUGACCGGCGUACAGGAAUGAAGUUGGGAGUCCCGAGAUUAGUCGUGAAGAUGUUUGAUCCCCAGGGGAGCAAGGUAAAUUGAAGGUGGUGUCAAAGUAACCAGAAAAACAUUGUGACAUCCGAGGCCGUCGAUGGAGCCCCAGUUUUCAAUCUAAAGGCACUGCAGAAGGACGCCGCCGUCAGAAUAAGAACAUAGGAAGUCUGCAAGUACAUAAAGUUGAGAACAAUUGGUCAAUCUAGUGUGAUAUAGCAGGAUACAUAACUUGAUUAAUUUAAGGAAGUAAUGUUCAACGUCAACUCAAAAUUUUGAAGGUGACGACAUAUUGAUAAGGCAUACCACUUGCCUUACUUUUAAUUGGCAUCCUGUAUCUCCCCACGUCUGAUCUUAUCCAAGUCGAGCUGAAAUAGCUUCUACUUUGCAACUUGGCUUCCAUUGUUAUCGAUCCAUCUACUGCUAACACGGUCGGUAAGCUCUCCCUAGGCCGUAGGCAGCAAUACCCUGGACAAAGAUCAAUACCAGCAGGCCUUGUGGGAGCCUCAAACCUCAUCCACUACAAAGGUACAGAAAUUUUCACUGCACUAAAAAACAUGCCAUUAGUCAAAGCGUAGAAAUUACCGUUCCCGAUUGUAGCAUCAACAGGACAACCCACCUGAGCACGAAAAAGCACUUCCAGGAAGUCUUUCCUCUAUUGAGGCUUUGGGUACCAAAUCGAAACCCUAAUCUGCAAAAUAUAAAUAGAGAAAAGAGACACAGGUGCGAGUUAGGAGAAAAAUGAGGCGGACAAAAAUUCCAACCAAGAACCCUAUCCCAAUCAGAAAUAGAAACCGAUUGAGAGAGGCAAGGGAGGAAGAAUUCGAGUCAUUACCUGAAGCCGUCGUCGUCGCCGAAGGUUGAGCUCUUACUAAGUUCUUUGAAACCAAAUCGUGAACCUGAGAGGUGAUGAAUGAUUGAGGUUUUGAGAGCAGGGAGAUUGAGAGGAGCGCGAGCGCAUUGGAGAUUGAGAAAGAGGGAGAUGAGAGAUGCGAGAGGAUUGGUUGAGAGAGCGAAAGAUGGAGCUGUAGCAUUGUGAGAUGGUAACGAUGAGGGCGAGCGAGCGAUGGAGAGUCUGUUGCUUCGCAUUUUUUUUUUCUUUUUUAUUGUAUAAAAAAUAAAAAACAAACAUAUUAGGCCACAUAAAAAACCAUUAAAUUUUUUUUUACUAUUAUCUUCCUUUGCAUUUUAUUAAUUAGUUUUUGUGUUCCCAAUCUUGUCAAUCACUUGGAAACCCACAGCCAGCGGCUAGGGUUUUUUUGGGAAUUCCUCCUCAUUUAAUUAGUAGCUCCAACCAGACUAAUUUUUUUGUUAUGGUUUUUAAUUUAAUCUUCAAUAUAUUCUGGUUUAAUAUCUAAUUGCUAUAAAUUAUAAAUAAUCAUAAGUGGUCUAGUGGAGAGGGGGUAGUUUCAUAAGUCCUUUAGUGGGAGUGGGUUCAAUACCCAACAUAUGGCGUUUUAUUUCUUUUAGCAUCAUUUUUUUCCAUGUUUAUUUUUCAGUAUAAUUUUCUCCCAGUACUCAUUAGUUUCAUAUUAAUUUAAUUAACACAAAUUUGUUUCUUUUAAUUUCAUCAUCCAUUCAAAACCAUUUUUAACUAUUAAAAGCACACUUUCUCGAUCAAUGUCGAGCCCAUUUCCCAAUACCUCGUAAGUCAUUGCUUUUAAGCACCGCCAUCAACCUCACAUAUCUUACUCCUGGCUUUCUACAAUGAGCCGGUUUCUCUUGCACUUACUACUCAUACAUUGCAUUAUUUGUUGUUGGGGCCAAUUUAAUUAUUUCACGAUUUUUGAAUCCCCUGCAAAAUGUACCCCACUCCUCCGAUGUGUAAUUAAUUUUGGUAACCUGUGGUUUUAUUUCUUAUUGGUUUGACUGGUUUCAGUUAGAUACUAACACAAGAAUAAACUCAACCAUUUCCAAAAAUAACAAAAUAUGACUCGAUCACAACUCGAGUCUUUCUCAAUAAACAAAUAAUUCAUUUCUCUCCUCCUAUUCUAUCCAUUUCUUUAAACUUUCUCAACGCUGACUUUCAAAUGUCACCAUUUUUUCCUAAUAAAAACUCAAAAAAUAUUUAAUUUAUAGUUAAGACAUUUUCCAUAAGAGUAAGUGGAACGUGGUGUAUAUCGCGCGACUCCUGAGACUAAGAUUCAAGAUGUAUAAUCUCCCAAUCCUAGCUUACGCCAUCAAUGCCAGAAUUUAUCCAUUUGUUUUCUCUCAAACACUCAUUCAAAUUUCUCUUAAACGUGCCAUCCAAUACUUGAUUCUAGUCUCAAGUCAUUUUCACACAAACUCCAAAAUACCUAAUUACUUAUUUAAACCACUUUCUUCAAUAAAGGUGGAAAUGGAACAUGGGUGUAUACCGUGGCACUCCUGGAGAUUAAGAUUCGAGACGUAUGCCUCGCCUAAUCUUGGCUCUCGCCAUCGUCUAAACUGUCAAUGACUGGUUUUCGUCAAACCCUUUCUCAUCAAACCUAAGAUACUAAUUCUUAUUUAACACUUUUUUACAAUAAAGGUGGAAAUGGAACUGGUGUAGUACCGUGCACCCUGAGGCUAGGAAUUCGAGAUGUAUCUUCGCUCAUCCAAGUCCUCUCGCCAUCGUCUAAAAUUGUCAAUCGCGUGUUAUUCAAACCUUUCUCAAAUCAAUUCCAAAAUACCUAUUCCUAUCUUAACUUUUCAAUAGAUGGAAAUGACAUGGUGUAUACCGUGCAUUCCUGAGGCUAGGAUUCGAGAUGUAUAUCUCGCUCAUGCCAAGUUCUCGCUAUCCGCAAAACACAUCCAACAAUAAAUCUUUUCCCUCGCCGCCGUGCGAUUAAUCAAAACCUUUUUCAUAACGAAAGAUAUAUUUGUCUUAAGUGAUACAAAAUAUGUUUCGGCCACGAUUAUUGAGUAGAGAUAAAUGACGGCUUUUUCCGAAUGUAGAUUUAUAAUCCGUUCGAUGUGUGGUAUGCGUCUACUCCUCAUCUGUUUGGGUAAAACAAUGUUUUGUCGUCGUUAAUACAGUAUAGCUUUCGCUAAAAUCGACCAACAAACAAACAUUUUUCUACCCAGAACUACGUAAGCCUUUAUUUCUCUUUUGAGAUACGUAGGAGCAGGAUUUAUAAAUUGUCGUGGCCCACUAAUAAAACUUAGGUUUAGUCUUCGUUAAAAAAUCCAAAAACAUCUUCUUCUUUUCUUUUGAUUCUAAUUUAUUCUUUUCCCACCUAAGAAUUUGAAAAAGCCAAUAUUUUAACUAACACUAUACGCACGGUUGGGUGUGUGGUUUACUCGGUGAGUCAACUAAAACCUAAUGUUUCCGUUGAGUACUAAGGACGAAACAUUGUUUUACCCAAAACAGAUGAGGAGUAGACGCAUACCACACAUCGAACGGAUUUAUAAAUCUACAUUCGGAAAAGCGUCAUUUAUCUCUACUCAAUAAUCGUGGCCGAAACAUUAUUUUGUAUCACUUAAGACAAUAUAUCUUUCGUUUAUGAAAAAGGUUUUUGAUUAAUCGCACGGCGGCGAGAAAAAGAAUUUGAUUGGUUGGAUGUGUUUUGAGUGAUAGCGAGAACUUGGAUGAGCGAGAUAUACAUCUCGAAUCCUAGCCUCAGGAAUGCACGGUAUACACCAUGUUCCAUUUCCAUCUAUUGAAAAAAGGUUAAGAUAGGAAUUAGGUAUUUUGGAAUUUGAUUGAGAAAAGGUUUGAAUAAACCGCAUUGACAAUUUUAGACGAUGGCGAGAACUUGGAUGAGCGAGAUAUACAUCUCGAAUCCUAGCCUCAGGAGUGCACGGUAUACACCAUGUUCCAUUUCCACCUUUAUUAAAAAAAGUGUUAAAUAAGAAUUAGGUAUCUUAGGUUUGAUUGAGAAAGGGUUUGACGAAACCACAUUGACAGUUUUAGACGAUGGCGAGAGCCAAGAUAGGCGAGGCAUACGUCUCGAAUCUUAAUCUCAGGAGUGCACGGUAUACACCAUGUUCCAUUUCCACCUUUAUUGAAGAAAGUGUUAAAUAAGAAUUAGGUAUUUGGAGUUUUGUUGUGAAAAAUGACUUGAGACUAGAUCAAGUAUUGAUGGACGUUUAAGAGAAAUUUGAAUGAGUGUUUGAGAGAAAACAAAGUGGAUAAAUUUGGAUGAUGGCGAGAGCUAGGAUUGGCGAGAUAUACAUCUUGAAUCUUAGUCUCAGGAGUGCGCGGUAUACACCACGUUCCACUUACAUCUUAUUGAAAAUGUCUUAACUAUAAAUAAAUAUUUUUUUGAGUUUUUAUUAGAAAAAUGGCUUGACAUUGAAAUCAAGCGUUUGAUGAAAGUUUGAAAGAAAUGGAAUAGAAUAGGAGGGAGAAAUGAAUUGAUUUGUUUAUUGAGAAAAUACUCGACGUUGGAUCGAGUCAUAUUUUUGUAUUUUUUGGAAAUGGUUGAUUUUAUUCUUGUGUUAGUAUCUAACUAAACAGUCAAACAAAUAAAGAAAUAAAACAGUACAAACUCGACGUUGGAUCGAGUCAUAUUUUUGUAUUUUUUGGAAAUGGUUGAUUUUAUUCUUGUGUUAGUAUCUAACUAAACAGUCAAACAAAUAAAGAAAUAAAACAGUACAAAAUUAUUACACAUCGGAGGAGUGGGGUACAUUUUGUCAAAUGGGGAUUCAAAAAUCGUGAAAUAAUUAAAUCGGGCCCAAACAACAAAUAAUGCAAUGUAUGAGUGUAAGUGCAAGAGAAACCGGCUCAUUGUAAGAAAGCCCAAGAGUAAGAUAUGUGAGGUUGAUGGCGAUGCUUAAAAGCAAUCGACUUACGAGGGUAUGGAAAUGGGCUCGACAUUGAAUCGAGAAAAGUGUGAUUUUAAUAGUUAAAAAUGGUUUUGAAUGGAUGAUGAAAUUAAAAGAAAACAAAUUUGUGUUAUUAAAUUAUAAUGAAACUAAUGAGUACGGGAGAAAUUAUACUAAAACAUAAACAUGGAAAAAAAUGAAUGCUAAAAGAAAUAAAACGCCAUAUGUGGGUAUUGAACCCACUCCACUAAAGACUAUGAAACUACCCCCUCUCCACUAGACCACUUAUGAUUAUUUAUAAUUUAAAUAGCAACUUAGAUAUUAAACCAGAAUAAAAGAAAUAAAACGCCAUAUGUGGGUAUUGAACCCACUCCACUAAAGACUAUGAAACUACCCCCUCUCCACUAGACCACUUAUGAUUAUUUAUAAUUUAAAUAGCAACUUAGAUAUUAAACCAGAAUAUAUUGAAAUUAAAAUUAAAAACCAUAACAAAAAAAAUAGUCUGUUGGACUACUAAUUAAAUGAAGGAGGAAUCCCAAAAAAAACCCUAGCCGCCUGGCUGUUGGGUUUCCAAGUGAUUGACAGAUUGGGAACACAAAAACUAAUUAAUAAAAUUGCAAAGGAAGACUAAAGUAAAAAAAAUUUAAUGGUUUUUUAUGUGGCUAAUAUGUUUGUUUUUUAUUUUUAAAUAAAUAAAAGAAAAAAAAAAUGGAAGCAACAGACUCUCCAUCGCUCGCUCGCCCUCAUCGUACUCACUCUCACAAUGCUCGCUCCAUCUUUCGCUCUCUCAAUCUCAAUCGCUCUCGCAUCCUCUCAAUCUCCCUUCUCUCAAUCUCCCAAUCGCUCUCGCGUCCUCUCAAUCUCCCUGCUCUCAAAACCUCAAUCAUUCAUCACCUCUCAGGUUCACGAAUUUGGUUUUCAAAGAGACUUAAGUAAGAGCUCACCUUCGGCGACGACGACGGCUCAGGUAAUGAUCGAAUCUCCUCCCUUCGCCUCUCUCAAUCGGUUUCUUUUCUGAUUUGGGGAUUAGGGUUCUUGGUGGAAUUUUUGUCCGCCUCCAAUUUUUUUCUCCUCCUCGCACUGAUUCUCUUUCUCUAUUUAUAUUUUGCAGAUUAGGGUUUCGAUUUGGUACCCAAAGCUCAAUAGAGAAACUUCCUGGAAGUGCUUUUUGUGCUCAGAAUCGGGUUGUCCUGUUUGAUGCUACAAUCUGGAAACGGUAAUUCUACAGCUUUGACUAAUGGCUAUGUUUUUUACUGCAGUGAAAAUUUCUGUAACCUUGAGGUAGUGGAUGAGGUUGAGGCUCCACAUAGGCCUGCUGGUAUUGAUCUUUGUCCAGGGUAUUGCUGCCUACGGCUAGGGAGAGCUUUACCGACCGUGUUAGCAGUAGAUGGAUCGAUAACAAUGGAAGCCAAGUUGAAAGUAAGAAGCUAUUUCAGCUCGACUUGGAUAAGAUCAGACGUGGGGAGAUACAAGGACUGCCAAUUAAAAGUAAAUGCAAAGUGGGUUAUGCCUUUAUCAAUAUGUCGUCACCUUCAAAAUUUUGGAGUUGAGUUGACAUUACUUCUUAAAUUAAUCAAGUUUAGUAUCCUGCUAUAUUCACACUAAUUGACCCAAUUGUUCUCAACUUAUGUACUUGCAGACUUCCUAUGUUCUUAUUCUGAGGCGGCGUCCUUCUGCAGUGCCUUAGAUUGAAAACUGGAGCUCCAUCGACGGACUCGGAUGUCACAUGUUUUUCUGGUACUUUGACACCACCUUCAAUUUUACCUUGGGAUCAAACAUCUCACGACUAUCUCGGGACUCCCAACUCAAUUCUGUACGCCGGUCAUGCUUGCAUUAAGAUAUUCAAUUUGAUCUAUGGAAGAAAGUACUUUGCGCUGGUAGGCUCUCAUUCUCGGUAUCUUCACAUAUCAACUUGAUUAAUUUAAUUCAAUUUUAUACAUAUUGAUGUUUGUAGGAAUGAGGGUGAGACUUUCUCUCCGAACAGUGUCAACAAUCGAGUUCCAACCGAUCUGCAUUGCAAUACCAUGUUGUCCACUACCAAUGUUAGCAAGCAUCCUUAAGAAAUUAUACUUGCAUACUGAGCAAAUACUGAUAUCACUUGAGGGAAACGUCGUCCAAUGACCUCCAAAGAAUCAUGAGUUACAAUGCCACUAAUUCAUAUCAAAAUCAUCCGCAUGAGUAAGCUUUCCGACUACUAUACCAUCCUGAAAUGAACAUGUUCUUUGGGUGAUAGACAUGAUUUUAAUGAAACAUUGACUCAGGAUCUUGGUCCAUGCUUUGUUUGUCAUAUAGCAAAUGAUUGUUGGCUUGGUAUGUUUGCUGCUGCUAUGCAUGUUUUUCUGUCAUGAAAGUUUUGCAGGUGGUUUUGAUGUAGGACUGGUUUUGGUGCAGGAUUGGUCUUGGCGCAGGCUGUUGUAACGUACUGUCGUAGAGUCACGAGAACUACAAGGCAGUUGAGAUGCACGGUUUUCCCCAAAUUUGGCAACCCGGUAAGUGGUGAUAGUUUCCGCAUCAUCGAUUUUGGUAGCAGGAUUCGCCAUUGUCUCUAUUAACUCGUCUUGGAAUUUGAUGAACAUCUUUCUGGUAUUUGCAGCUUGCUUUUCCAUAGGAGAGAGUGAUAUUCCAGGAGUUCCAAUGGCAAGUGAUUGAGCAGGUGCUGCUGCAGAUGGAUCAACUUCUUCAUCACUUAUGCUUACUACUGUGUCAAUAAGUUGCUGGUUAACAUCCCCAAUUUCUUCCAACAGGGCAUGAUUAGCCUCAAUCCUUGGCUCUCUCAAAGUCUAAUGUAACCAAAGCCACAAAAGCAGUGCUUUGUAGAAGAAAGUCCAGCAAAACGGCUAAAGUUGCAAUCAUCGAGAAAACACGGCAUGCUGGCAUAGAAACAAAUGAUCCUGCAGCAAAUGCUAGAACCUUGAUAAGCUGGCGGGUGUUAUGGAUGGUCCAACCUCCCCCAUUGCAUUGCUUAUUUGUUCUUCUUUUAAUAUAUCAGAGGGUUGCCGUUGUUUCUGUGUAUUGUUUUCUUUGUCAUGAUAUUUAACAGUUGUUGUUGGUGCCAUACGAUUGACAUUAUUGCUUCGUGAAUUGGUAGGGUCGGCAAUGGACAACCACAUGCUUGCUUUCUUGAUGCGCCAACUAACGAAUAGACUUGGACGCGUAUCAUGGCAUGGAGUUAUGGUUGCAAGUGUGCAGACUUUCUUCCGCCAAUCUCAGGAAAGAGGUAGCCGGCUUAAAGUUUACCCAAGUUUCCAUUGCGGGAGACCCUUGCCUUGUAAGUAGUCUUAGCUUCUCGGAGUGUAGCGAUGCGCUUACAAAUUCUGGAUGGAGCUAAGAAUGUGAAUGCGGAAAAAGAGAUUGAAAGCGUGAGGUUUUGGAUCACCGGCACUUUGGAUGGGAAAAGAGGAGAGUGGGUUUGAUUGCGUUAAAGAUUGUUGUUCUGUGAGUUUUGUUACCGUCGGACUCGCAUCGCCAUUUUGCAGUCGGUGGUUGGCUCGUGAUUUUGGUUCAGCUUUGCAGUGUGAUUGCGGUUUCGUUUUGUUUUGCAUUGUCGUCUCUGUUGUGUUACUGCCAUUUUGCUUUUGGUAGCUGCAUUUUGCCUCGUGCUGCGUUGUCGCGUUUGGUUUUCGUACUUGGCCUGUGAUUGUACUUUUUUUUUAUUGCAAUUUUAUCUCAUGUAACUUAUGAAUAUGGAUAUGUAAAUUUGCUUUGAAAUGGGUAAUUGGAUAUUGGUAUUGAAUGGAUAAUGGCUUUAAAAAUUAGAUGUGGGUUAAUAUUAUUAAUGGUUUAUGUUAUGCAUAUGAUUUUUUUAAAAGAAUGGAUAUGGAGAUGGAUAUGGGAUUUGUUUUUGUUAUUUUUUUUGACAUGGUUAUUCUAAAGUAAUUGGAUUGUUAAUGAAUGAAAUGAUUAUUUGGACAUUUGAAUGGUGUAAUGAAUGUUUGAAUUUGGUUUGAAUGAAAUGAAUUUGUGGUUGUAGAAUGGGAUUGGAUUAUUUUGAAAUAGUCUUAAAACGCAUCUAAAUGUCAAUUUAAAAUCCAAAAAAAUCAAUAAAACAAUUAAAAUCAAAUUAGUCCAUUAAUUUGUUAAAAUUACUUUGAUAUCAAUUCUAACAUUUAUUCGAAAAUAAAAAUCAAUUAGAGUUUGAAUCAUUAGUAAAAAAAACAAUUAAGAUUAAUUCGAAAUUUGGAAUUAGAUUUAGUUUGAAAUUAAAUUGAAAUUGACAAUUAAAAAAUUAAAUAACUAAAAUCCAUUUUGUAAUCAAAAAGCAACAUGAUCAAAAAGCUUAGAUAAUAACCAAUGUUUAUAAAAAAAAUAUGGAUUUGGGAAUGGACGGUUGCCUUUGGUCAUGAAUGUAUGCAAAUAAACUUUAGGCCAAGUUCCAAAUGAAAAAUGAAAAAAUGGAAAAAAUUCAGGACCAAAAUCGGGGUAUGACACCAAUGUUCUCUACAUAUUAUAUUGAUCAAGUUUUCUUCAAGAGUUUGAGGGUGAUUUACAUUGGAAACCCUAGUUUGACUGGGUAUCUUGAGUAACUUCUCCCACAAGAUAUCUCACCAAUUGAUCAAAUUUCUCAAGGGACACUUCAAAAUUCAUCAUAUUUUGCAUAUAUGAUCUACCAUGAUCCAAGAAAGAUAAAAGAAUUGGAAAUUAGCAAGUUGGUUGAUGGUGGUUGGCCAGAUGGAUUCAUCUGAUUAAAACUGGGUCUCCCUAGACCCUAUCUAAUACACUUUUCACCAUAUGAAAAUGAUUCCAAGAGAAAACUUACCCUAAAUGACAUUCCAAACAACUUUCAUGUUGAUACCUAGAUCUAGUUUUGCUUGGAAAAUCAUUUUCUAUAUUGAAACAUUAUAGGUCAUUUUGUCUAAACCCUAAUUUGAAAGUCAAUUUCCUAAGGCCAUAACUUUCUCAAUUUUUAUCAUAUGAAAGAUUUCCAAGUUGUACAAUCAAAUUCAAUGUGUCUACUUCAACUUUGAUGUUUGGAGUGGGAGCUAAUUCAACUUUUUUGAAAAUGUGAUAUGAGGUUACAUUAUUGGUCACUUUUGACCUAUACCAUUGAUCAAGUAAUUUUUCCAAACUUCAAAAAUGCAUAACUCUAUCAUUUUAAAUCCAAAUUGAAAUUCUAGUUAUCAGACUUUGGAUGUCACACAGGUUGUUAUGACAUCCAAUUCUGCACAGACAGGGAUUAUGCAGAACUUAACAGUAAGUGCAGUAAAUAACACAAGUAAUUGUUCACCCAGUUCAGUCCAACAUGACCUACAUCUGGGGGCUACCAAGCCAGGGAGGAAAUCCACUAUUAGUAGUAUCAAUUCAAAGCUAAACUCACCCGUUUACAACUUAUCACUUAAUCCCUACCCAAUGCAAUUUCAAUCUUAACCUAAGAUCAGAGUUCCUACUCACUCCCCCUCAAUCACCUCAGUGAUAUUAAAGACACUUUGAAGUCACACUUCAAAAACAACUCUUGAUUAUGCUUCACAGCUUAAAUCAAGAUACACAGCACUCACGCUUAAAAGCUUUGAGUGACACAACACUUACAACUCAAUGAACACCCUAUGCCAAAGCAAUCAUCUACUUGAUAAUGGCUUGGCUUACAAGAUACGUCUAAUACAAGACUCACAAAAUACAGCAGUGAAGUAUGAUGGACACACUAACUCUUCACGCUUCAAAAUCCCCGAAACUGAAUGAAGGAAUGCCUUCCUUUUUAUAUUGCAGCACCUGGGCUUUUGCACCUGUAUUUUCCUGAAUUUUAGGUCACACAAGUUCCCUCAAAUUCAACAUUUAGGUUGCUAACAAAUAGGCUAUUUGUUAGGUUCAUUGAAUGUAGCUUGGUUGUUGAUUUCCUGGAUUUUCUCUCAGCUGUUGAAUCCCUAAAGAAUAGCCUGAGAAAAAGCUGAAACAGAAAACUGAACAACCUACAAUUUAGCAUAUGCUGUCAGGCACGAAUGUCACGACAUUCAGCUUGACAUCAAGGUCCAUAUGCUGAGUCUGUUUUUCCAGAAAACAGACUGUACAAUUUGCUGACCUGUACAUGAUCAAAAUGACCAUACUACAGUAACAGCUUACAUUAGUAAAUGUCAAAGUGUCCAACUUAACAUUUACACAUUUGGCCUUAAGUUAGUUCUGUUAUUCUCUUGAAGAACAAACUAAGUUAUAUGCUGAAGUAUAGCAGAACACCACUCUGCCUAAUCUUCAGUAGCUGCUGUCAAUGAUGAAUGUCAUAACAUCCAGUUUGACAUUCAGUCAGUAGGCCUUAUGCCAGGUCUGGUUCUUCCUUGAUAACCAGACUGCAAAUGAAUACUAAGUUCUAACAGAACUUCUGUUCCUUAGUAUCUGUUGACAGGUAUGAAUGUCACAGCAUUCAAAAAUCCUGUGUUAGCUAGUCCUGCAGUAACUACAAUGUAGUCACAUAUACAUGUCAUGACAUCAGUCAAGACAUUAGUGUUUUACCAUAUAAUGCAGCCAAUUAAACACCUACAAACUCCCCCUUUGGCAAAUUUUUGGCUAAAACACUUUGAUCCCCAUAACAGAGUUCAUAGCAGCGGAAACACUCACCUAGCAGGAAAUAAUACUAGCUAAAAACACUCAGAGUGGCAGCACACUCACACACAUGGAAGUUAAAUAAAAACUUCACAUAGCAGCACACACAUAUUAGAAGUUGCACCUAAACUUCAAUAUCAGCUGCAGGGGGGGAAAUCUGUCGUCCUGAGAGUCUGCUGUAGAGACACUCACUCUGUUUAGGGGUUACUCCCCCUUUUUAUCAAAAACGUUGCCAAGGCCAACAACAUUACCAGAGGAUAACGACCGAGUUACAGACUUGGUUUUACUUCAUAGUUUCAACCAAGUUAACAUCCACUUGAUCUUGCUUCACAGCUUCGAUCAAGCAAUCACCCACUUUUGCUUUACAGUAGGUACCACCAUAUCAGAUGCCAUGAUUUUGUUUCUGACAUCCAGAACAACUCCUGCAUGAACAGCAUCCUUGAACUCCUGCAGGUACAUUGGCCUUCUCACAGUAGGGUGUCUCCUUACCCUCUUGUAUCCACCCUUGUUGCAAGUAGAAUAGCUAUGAUCUGGUGACCAAUCAUAGCCUAGUACAAAUUGUUUAAUAGGCAGAGAUAUUAAACAAUUUAUCCCAAACAUCAGUGGUAGCUAUAAGGUCUCAGAGAGACAUAUUCCCAGUUUGCUCCUUAAAUUUUCAAAUUGAGUAGCAUCCAGCGCCUUUGUAAAUAUGUCAGCCAGUUGAAGCUCCGUGGCUACAUGUUCCAAAGUGAUCACCUUAUCUUCCACCAGAUCUCGGAUGAAGUGGUGCCUAAUGUCAAUAUGUUUGGUCCUGCUGUGUUGGAUGGGAUUCUUGGAGAUGUUGAUGGCACUGAGAUUAUCACAGAACAAUGUCAUCACAUUUUGAGUGACAUUGUACUCAGUGAGCAUCUGUUUCAUCCAAACCAGUUGGGAGCAACUGCUUCCAGCAGCUAUGUAUUCAGCCUCUGCAGUGGACAGAGAAACACAAUUCUGCUUCUUGCUGAACCACGAUAUGAGGUUUUCUCCUAAGAAGAAACAUCCACCUGAUGUGCUUUUUCUGUCAUCAGCACUUCCAGCCCAAUCAGCAUCACAGUACCCAGAUAGGACAGGCUCAGACCCAUGUGAAUACAGCAUCCCAUAGUCACAUGUCCCAUUGAUGUACUUGAGAAUCCUUUUGACUUGAUUCAAGUGGCUCACCUUGGGCUCUGCUUGGUAUCUGGCACAUACUCCAACUGCAUAAGAAAUGUCAGGUCUACUUGCAGUUAGAUACAGCAGACUACCUAUCAUGCUUCUGUACAGGCAUUGAUCAACACUAGGCCCUCCAUCAUCUUUGGUUAACUUCAGAUGAGUAGGAGCAGGAGUCCUCUUGUGCCUGGCAUGAUCCAUACCAAACUUCUUAACUAUGUUCUUGGCAUACUUGCUUUGGGAGAGAAACAUAGAGUCCUCCAUUUGGUUUACUUGCAUUCCAAGGAAAUAGGUCAGUUCUCCCACUAGACUCAUUUCAAACUCAGACUGCAUCUGGUGAACAAAUUUUUUAACCAUUUGUUCUGACAUUCCACCAAAGACUAUAUCAUCAACAUAGAUUUGAGCUAUCAUGAUUUUGCCUUCUUCAUCCUUCACAAACAAGGUUUUAUCUAUGCCACCCUUUCUGUAUCCAUUUGAGGUCAGAAAUUCGGUUAACCUUUCAUACCAAGCUCUGGGUGCUUGCUUCAACCCAUACAAGGCUUUCUUCAACUUGUAUACAUGCUCAGGUUGGUUAGGAUCACAGAACCCUUUGGGUUGUUCCACAUAGACUUCUUCAUUCAGGUAGCCAUUCAAGAAUGCACUCUUCACAUCCAUUUGGAAUAGCUUAAACUUCAGGAUGCAUGCUACCCCCAACAGCAAUCUGAUGGACUCAAGUCUAGCCACAGGAGCAAAUGUCUCAUCAAAGUCUACUCCUUCAACUUGAGUGUAUCCUUGAGCUACUAGUCUUGCUUUAUUUCUAGUAAUUACUCCUUUCUCAUCAGAUUUGUUUUUGUAGAUCCACUUGGUACCAAUGAUGUUGGACCCUUCAGGUCUUGGAACCAGCUCCCAUACUUCAUGCCUUGUGAACUGCUCGAGUUCCUCUUGCAUGGCAAUGAUCCAGUAUUCAUCAGUCAGGGCUUCUUUCACAUUCUUUGGUUCAACCUUGGAAACAAAGCAGGAAUUUGAGUUUAUUCCUCUUGACCUGGUAGUUACACCACUGGUGGGAUCCCCUAUGAUAAGAUCCUUAGGGUGGUCUUUCUGAAUUCUGAUAGAUGGCACUUUGGUGGGUGCCUCUACUUCACAUUCAGGAGGAGGUUCCUGUACUUCUUCAGACUUGACUGGACUGUCAGUUGGACUGUCAAGGAAUGUUUCAACAUCCUCCAUGACAUCGGUUCCUUCCUCUUUAUCAUCCACAAUGACAUUUAUGGAUUCCAUCAGGACAUUGGUCCUGUAGUUGAACACUCUAUAGGCUCUGCUGUUAGUGGAGUAUCCCAGAAAUAUGCCUUCAUCACUUUUGGGAUCUAGCUUCCUUCUCUGUUCACGAUCUGUGAGAAUGUAGCAUUUACUUCCAAAAAUAUGAAAGUACUUCACAGUGGGUUUUCUACCCUUCCAUAUUUCAUACAGAGUGGAGGAGGUUCCUUUUCUCAAGGUGACUCUGUUGUGAACAUAGCACGCGGUAUUCAUUGCUUCAGCCCAAAAGUGCAUAGGGAGCUUCUUUGCAUGAAUCAUUGCUCUGGCAGAUUCUUGAAUAGUUCUAUUUUUUCUUUCAACUAUUCCAUUCUGCUGAGGAGUUAUAGGGGAGGAGAACUCAUGGCUUAUUCCUUCAGAUGAGCAAAACUCAUCAAACUUGGAAUUCUUGAAUUCAGUACCAUGAUCACUUCUAAUCCGGACCACACAACUGUCCUUUUCCCUUUGAAGUCUUAUGCACAGAUCUUUGAAGACAUCAAAUGUAUCUGACUUCUCUCUGAUGAAGCUUAUCCACGUGUAUCUGGAAUGGUCAUCAACCACCACGUAGGCAUACUUCUUCCCACCAAGACUUUCAACCUGCAUAGGUCCCAUUAGGUCCAUGUGCAGCAGUUCCAGAACUCUGGAGGUUGUGGAAUGUCCCAGCUUUGGGUGUGACAUCUUGGUUUGCUUGCCCACUUGGCAUUCUCCACAGACUCUUCCUUCAUCAAUCAGAAGCUUUGGCAUUCCUCUGACUGCUUCCUUGGAUAUGAUCUUCUUCAUUCCCCGUAAGUGGAGAUGUCCAAGUCUUCUAUGCCACAGCUUCACCUCCUGUUCUUCCUUGGCUGAGGAGCAUGUUGUGGAAAAGUUAGAGAGAUCAGGUUCCCACAGGUAGCAGUUGUCUUUGGACCUGGUUCCUCUCAUAACUUCCUGAUUGUCACCAUUUGUCACAAUGCACAGCUCCUUAGUAAACUGAACAUGAAAACCUUGAUCACACAGCUGACUUAUGCUGAUGAGGUUUGCAGUUAGUCCUCUUACUAACAGCACAUUGUUCAGUUUUGGCACUCCAGAACAGUCCAGUUUGCCCACACCUCUUAUUUUUCCUUUGGCACCAUCACCAAAAGUCACAUAGCUGGUAGUGUGAGGUUGAAUAUCUACCAGUAGAUUUUCCAUACCAGUCAUAUGUCUUGAGCAUCCACUGUCAAAGUACCAGUCUUCUCUGGAAGAUGCCCUUAGAGCAGUGUGUGCUAUCUUAGCAUACCAUUGUUGCUUCUUAAUGGGAACACAUCGCUUAUGUGUUUUAUGCUUAGGUCUGACAUGUGAGGCUAGGUUAGGAAAACCAUGAAUCCAGUAGAAGAAGGCUUUUAUAUGACCAAGCCUACCACAGUGGUGACACCUCCAACCCUGGUAUUUCCUCUUCUGAUGAUCAUUCAUCCUAGUUCCUCGAUGUUGUGACAUUGGAGCUGACUUCCGCUGGUACUUCUGAACUUUAGCCUUUGGGCGUUUGUGUUCAGUUGAUGAUCUUUUCCCAAAUCCUAGGCCAGAUUUGGUUCCAGACUGCUGUCCCACCUUUAGAAUCUCUUCCAAGGUGUCAGUUCCCUUAUUCAUCAUUCUGAUGGAUUUUGUCAUCUGGUUCAGCUUGGAGGUCAGCAGGGCUAUUUCACCAUUUAGACCCUCUAUGACAGACAGUUGCUUUUGUCUCUCAUCUUCCAGUUCCUUGAUGAGUUUCUUCUGCUUUUCUCCUUGUGCACGCACCUCUGCACUGGUGUAACACAACUUCUUAUAGGCUGCAACAAGUUCAUCAAAGGACAGUUCAUCUGCACUUGAGUCAUCAUCAGAGGCACAAACACUGGUUAGUGCAGUGACAUGUUUGGCAGAUUCUCCUUCAGAUUCACUUUCAGAAUCUCCUUCAGACAGGUGAUAGGCUAGCCCCUUAUUUUUCAAUUUGAGGUAGAUAAGGACUCAUCUACACCAUACCCUUCACAGCGCGCGAUGGACACUGGAUUCGGCGCUGUGCCUGGUAAAUUCUCAUCUGAGUUGAUCUUUCUAAUGUCAGACGGAUGUUCUUGACAUUAGGUCUACCUCUGACAUAUCUUUCACGAACUAUAGACUGCGCUGUCGAGUAGAUGGCUUAAGGCUCUAUAUACUAUUUCGAUCAACCUUUAUAUCCUUGCUUCUGACUCCUCUUCAGUAUUGGAUACAAAAGCCUAUGCUUUUGUUCUUCUUCUCAGCAUAUCACUUAAGGCCCAUUCAAAGGUUUGGAGAGAGCCAUAUGAGCUCAUCCACCUUCAUGCUGCAGAUGUCCUGUGCCUCCCGACUGGCUUUGCCUUUCAUAGCAAAACCUCUUAGGCAAGGACCUGAGAAUCUUUCUUUACAAGUUUCCUCUUCAGCCAUUUUCUCACCUAGGUCCACAGAGGUGUUUUGCAAUUCAAGAAAUAUUCAUGUGAAAAGUCAUGAAUGUUCAAUCCUCUUUCAAUCCUCAGAUUUUCAAAUUGGUUGGUCAACAUCUGAAGUUUGGACAUCUUCACCUUGGAAUACCUUCAUGAGGUACCUGAGGUAUCCAAACUUCCUUAGCUAUUUCACAGUGUCUGACCAGCGCUGAAGUUAUGUGCUUGCUGGCAUCCAUUGAAAUGCAUUCAAGGCCUUGGAUUUCCAGAUGCUAAUGCCUCUUGGCUCUUGUCCCACCUCUUCUUCAGGAACUGCACACUUACUCCAUCUUCACCUAUUCCUCAUUGGAUGUUUCCGCAUCCUUGUGACAGUUCUCCAGACUGUGCUGUCGUACGAGUAGCCUUAAGAAGGCUAUCUACGCGGCUUUCAGUCAUCAUUAAGAGACCAUCCAACAUGGGUGCUAUUUGAGUGUUUUCCUAAUCCUUGUCCAUGGUACUUAGAAAGUAACUUCCCUAGAUCUCACCCAGAAAUCACAGGCAGGUGUUUCGCUGCUCUGAUACCAAUGAAAUUCUAGUUAUAGAUUUGGAUGUCAAAGGUUGUUUAUGACAUCCAAUCGUGCACAGACAGGAUAUCAGAAACUAACGUAAGUGCAGUAAAUAACACAAGUAAUUUUCACCAGUUCAGCUCCAACAGUGACCUACACUGGGUUGGGACCAAGCAGGGAGUGAAAUCCACUAUUAGUAGUAUCAAUCAAAGCUAAACUCACCCGUUACAACUAUCACUUAUCCCCUACCCAAUUGCAAUUCAUACUUAACCUAAAGAUCAGAGUUCCUACGUGCACUCCCCCUGCAAUCACCUCAGUUGAUAUUACAACUUGAAGGCUUACACUUUCAAAAACAACUCUUGGUUAUGCUUCACAGCUUUAACCCAAGAAUACGCACUCACGCUUUAAAAGCUUCGAGUAGUGAACAAACCUUAAACUCAUGGAACACCCUAUUGCCAAAGCUAUAUCUAUGAUAAUGGCUUGUUACAAGAUACGUCUAAACUAGACCACAAAAAAUACAACAGUGAAGUAUUGUGGACACACAAGAUCUUUCACGCCUCAAAAUCCUGAAACUGAUGAGGAACGCCUUCCGUUUAUAUAUCCAGUACCUGGCUUUUGCACUGUAUUCUCCUGAAUUUAGGUCACACAGUUCCCACAAAUUCAACAUUUAGGUUACUAACAAAUAGGCUAUUUGUUAGGUCAUUGAAUGUAGCUUGUUGUUGAUUUCCUGGAUUUUCUAGCUGUUGAAUCCCUAAAGAAUAGCCUGAGAAAAAGCUGUAACAGAAAACUGAACAAUCCUACAAUACAUAUGCUGUUCAGGAAUGAAUGUCACGACAUUCAGCUUGACAUCAAGGUCCAUAUGCUGAGUCUGUUUUUCCAGGAAAACAGACUGUUACAAUUUGUGACCUGUACAUGAUCAAAAUGACAUACUACAGUAACAGCUUACAUCAUAAAUGUGCAAAGUGUCCAACUUAACAUUUACACAAUUGGCCUUAAGUUAGUUCUGUUUCUUUUGAAGAACAAACUAAUUACAUGCUGAAGUAUAACAGACAACCACUUUGUCUAAUCUUCAGCAGCUGCUUUCAAUGAUGAAAUGUCAUAAAAAUCCAGUUUGACUUCAGUCAGUAUGCCUUAUGCCAGGUCUGGUCUUCCUUGAUAACCAGCUGCAAAAGUGGAAUACUAAGUUCUAACAGAACUCCUGAUGUUCUAUUCCUUAGUAUCUGUUGACAGGUAUGAAUGUCACAACGUCCAGUUUGACAUUCAAUAAAUCCUGUGUUAGCUAGUCCUGUAGUAACUACAAUGUAGUCACAUAUACAUGUCAUGACAUCAGUCAGGACAUUAGUGUUUUACCAUAUAAUGCAUCCAAUUAAACACCUACACAAAUGAUAUGAAAUUUGUGACCAUUUUGAAUGAAUUUGAGAGAGCUACAACUUUUAUGAAUACACUUUUCUAAUUUCAAGCUCAUAUAAAAAUUUAUGCAAGGUGGAAUAUUGAGACAUAUGGCUUGACACUUAGAAAAAAAUUGAUAUGUCAAAUGUUUCCAAACUUCCACCUCAAAAUUAUCCAAGUUCCAAGCUCCAAAUGCAAAAGUGUUGAACAUGAAAGUUGUUCCUCUUGAUCUCACCUUUCCGAAGAGCUCAAAUUCAUUCAUUUUGGACAAGAAAUGUAUAGGCUGCGCAUGGCUUAAACAAGGUGAUAUCACUUGGGAAGGAUCAAACUUCGAACAUCAAUGUGCAUUUGCCUUGCAAUCCAAUCUUACUUCAGAGCAUCUGAUAUUCAUUUGUGGAUCUCAAGAAAUCAUUUCAUGGGCCUGUGCGCACCCAUGCACCAUUACAUCACCAUUUGCCAAAUUUGGAAAGUGAAUUGGAGUCUAUAAUUAUCAACCAUUUCAGCUAUAAAUAGAGCUUCAAUUGCUUAGAAAUGAACACACAUUGGCGCCAUCUUUGAUCCCCCAUUUCAAAACCUCACUUUGCAAAGGAUAAGCCUGAAAAAUUCUUUUGAAUUUGAGCUUGAAUCUCCACUAUUUUGGAAUUCAAUUCUCUAGGAAUCCAUAGCUAUUUAACCAUUCAAUCCUUCUCCUGCAAGCAAGUGGAGUGAGACCAAGCAUAAGCAAGAUCAAGAUCCAUCGAAUCCAUACCUGCAUUGAAGGUAUUUUCCAGAAAUUUUGAACUCUUCGAUUCUCUCAAAUUCUUGCUCAAUUCUUUUGAUUCUUUGGUUGUCUGAAUUCCUAACAAUAUAGGCAGGAAGAUUGAGUUGCUUUGAGGCGAAAUCAAAGAAACUCAGGUCAUGUACCUAAAAUUUCAACUCAAUGUAUCUCUCAAUCUACUUGGAGUUGGGGUGAAUGGAGGUCAAAUUCGAGCUCAGUGCCAUUUUUUUUUUAAGAUCAUGUCCUUGUUUUUCAUUUUGGUGAUGGUUCAUGAUGGACCAGUCCGGUGAGGUCCACCGAAGAAGAUGACAGGAUCUCUGGCUCCGACAAUGAGUUGGCAAGGCUCUGAACCACGUGAUCCAUCCAUUACGGUUUAAUCUUGAUCGAUGGUUUUAAAUACCACCUGUGCAACGCUGUUGACUCAAGUCCAUGUGGAACUCGCGCUAGAGACCAUCUGAUCUGCCACCUCAGUUAAUGAAGGAGGUCAGAUGGUCCACGUAUUUUUGAUUUUCUGAAUUUUUAUUUUCAUUGCAUUAUUUUCAAUAAUUCAUAUUAAAUUCAAUAUUGAUCCAAAAUAUAUGGGACCUUCACCAAAAAAAUUCAAAUAUUUUUCUCUUUCAUAUUCUGAAUUAAAAUUAUUUUUUGGAUCAUUAUUAAUAUUUUUCAUGAAUUAAUUGAUUUUUCAUUUGUUUUUAAUUCUUUAAAAAUAUUUUUAAAUGUCCAAAAAUUAUGAAAUUUUUUCUCCAAGGUCCUUUGACCUUGUUUGACCUAUGAUAAAUUUCAUGGCCAUUUCUUUGGUGUUUUGAUGGGAUUUUAGGAAUUGGACAAACCAUAUUUAAUUUAAAUGCACUAUUUUAUUAUUUUUAAUUGAAUAAAUGCCAAUUAAUUUUGUUGACCACUUGUAUUGACUUGUUUGAGUUUGCUUAUUGUUGUUGGGCCUUGGUCAAGGUUGAUUUGACUUUUUCAAAUUAAUACCAUUGGAUUUAGGGGAUUGAUGGAAUGUACAUUCCAUCUCCCAAAAUGAAUGGAUGAUAUUAAUUUGGUAAAAGUCCUCCUGUAACCAAUUUGUGAUUUCAUUCAUCCCCUUCCCACUUCAUCUUAUUCCCCUUCUUCAUUAAUUCAUUCCAUUUGGCCUAUGACAUCUCAAAGUCAUAAUGCUAGUUGAUUGAAAAAUUAACAUGCGUAUGGAUGAGAUUAGGCCACACCUUUUGCAUAUUCUUUUUGUGUGUGGUAUGUUUCAUGAGCAUAAUUCAUUAUACUAUGUCUCUAACAUGCAUUAACACCAAAAUUAUAUUGCCCGGCCUCAAAUAAUUAUGACUUCUACAAAAGUCCAAUUACAAUUGCUUAACAUAGCGCUAAAUUUGUGACAUAAAAGGCAUAAGCAUUCUAGUUAGUGAGAUUGUAAGUCUCCCCUCAUUCAUGGUAUUGUGUGGAAACUUGGCCUUCUUUCCUUCCCUUGGAAGAUGUUUUGGUUCAUGGAUCCAUGCUUGUGAUAAAUGGGUUGAGUGUUCUCCAAAGAAUGUAUUGAAAUGAAAAACAAAACAAUACUAACUUCUAACCUACUAACUACUAACUUUUAAUUUCGAGCUUUUACUUUAAUGCAAUUUACUUUUAGCACUCUAUUUCAUUUGCCAUUGUUCAUAUCAUUCUAAUUAUUUAUGCUAAUACAAUUUUCACUUUGUCCAUUUGGACCAUAUUGUGUGAUAUAUUUUGUUUGUGUAUACUUUGCUUGUUUGUGUGGUCUUUGACCAUUAAUGUACAUAAUAACAACAAAGAACCCUAAAAAAGUUUUGAGUGGACUGUUGUCUUAAUCUUGGACAAAUGGACUUAGAAUUUAGGCAACCUUCUUUGCUAAUGGACUUAGCCAAUGCCAACUUGUUGAAAGAACCAAGUGCUUGCAAUUUGAAUUUCAUCUGAUGCAUCUUUGAAGACCUCCCUAAGUUCAUCUGCAACAUGAUCAUCAUGAAGUUGUUACUUUGGACCUGUGACUCGUGGAAUUCAUUUGUUACAUGGGCUAUUUUGAAGAAGAUCAUAGAAUGGAAAAGCUUGGACGAGGCCAUCUUUAUUUGAUGUCUUUCUCUUCAAGAUAAUAUAAUUGUGCAUUUGUGUGUUGUUUGAUUCUAAAAGUCCAAGGGAAUUCUAGGUUUCUAUUGACAUACUUGUCUAUUGGAUUGAAACCCAUUUGGUCAGAUCUUUUCAACUCUAAACUUUUUAAUUUUUGUACAUAGGAUAGUGUCUUCAUCUUCUCCCCAUUUAUUUAAUUUCAAAAUAUCUCCCUCCAUUUUUUAAAAUCUACUUUAUGUGAACUAUUUUUGUUCUAAACUUUGACCACUUUUGUAAAGAAGAUAGAAACUUUGGCCUUAUGCCAUUGCAUUUUCAAAAUUCUUUUCUUAAAUCAAACUUGUCAAUAAACUUAACUAUACUUGACUUAAACGUUCAAAAAGCCAAAAAUAAUUAACUCAUUCAAAUCAUUUUUAGGCCUUUGUGCCUUUCAAAUUUAAAUUUUGUUAAAAUCAACACACCCAUUCUGAAAUUUGUAUCAGGAACUGCGAGGUUUUGAUCCCUCAUUUUAUGUUGAUACGUAGACACAAGUCCGAAGGUCUUGUCAAACACAAAAAUAUAAUUAAUGAAUUCUUUUCUCAUCCCCCCAUUCUAUUUGUUUGUAAACAUCGCUUUGUACAAAAUACAUAUGCACACAAAAAGGGCUCCCUAGGAGUACCUAGGACACUUUGGGUGCUAACAUCUUCCCUCUGUGUAACCAACCCCCUUACAUGUGAUCUCUGACUUUUAUUUGUUUUUAUUUGAAAACUUACUUUUGGGCUUUGUUCGUACUUUUUCCCUUUUCCUUUGGAAACAAUAAAAGCGCGGUGGCGACUCUUGUUAUUUGAUCUCUAGCUUGUCAAUAGCUUGAUGAUCAUGAAUUUACUGCUACAGUAGUCUCUUCAUCUUCUCCCCAUUUCUUUUAUUUCAAAAUCUCUCCCUCCCUUUUCAAAAAUCUUCUUUGAUUGAACUUAUUUUGUUCUAAAACUUCGACCACUUUUGCAAAAAGAUAGAAACUCUGGCCUUAUGCAUUGCAUUUUCAAACUUCUUUUCUUAAAUCAAACUUGUAAAUAAACUUAACUUUACUUGACUUAAACGUUCAAAAAGCCAAAAAGAACUAACUAAUUCAAACCAUUUUUAGGCAUUUGUGCCUUUCAAACUUAAUUUUUGUUAAAAACAAUGCAUCGACUUUGAAAUUUGUAUCACGAACUACGAGGUUUUGAUCCCUCAUUUUUAUGUUGAUACGUAGGCACGAGAUCGAUGGUCUUGUCAAACACAAAAAUAUAAUUAAUGAAUUCUUUACUCAUCCCCCAAUUCUAUUUGUUUGUAAACAUCAUUUUGUACCAAAUACAUAUGCACACAAAAAGGGCUCCUUAGGAGUACCUAGGACACUUUAGGUGUUAACACCUUUCCUCUGUGUAACCAACCCCCUUACCUAUAAUCUCUGACAUUUUUUUAGUUUUGAUUUGAAAACUUCUUACUUUUUGGGUUUUGUUCGUACUUUUUCCCUUUUCCCUUUAAAACAAUAAAAGCGCGGUGGAGACUCUUGUUAUUUGAUCUCUAUCUUAUCCAUAGCUUGAUAAUCAUCAAUUUACCGCUACAGAGUAUGAGACCGAGGAGAAAAGUGAUGAAGAAGUGAGAGGUGAAUUAUCUCGUCUUCUUGAGCAUGAGGAAAGAAUCACUUAGCCGUUCGAAGAGCAGAUUGAACUAGUCAACUUGGGUUCUGAGGAUGAUGUGAAGGAAGUCAAGAUUGGGUCUCGCCUGUGUCCAGAUGUUAAGAAAUGGUUGAUUGACUUUCUUCGAGAGUAUUCAGAUGUGUUUGCUUGGUCCUAUGAAGUAAUUUCUGAUUUGGAUUCUAAUAUUAUGGAGCAUAGAUUGCCGUUGAGGCCAGAAUGCCUGCCAGUCAAGCAGAAGUUAAGAAGAACGCAUCUUGAUAUGGCUGUGAAGAUUAAGGAAGAAGUGCAAAAGCAGAUUGAUGCCGGUUUCUGUGUGACCGCCGAGUAUCCGCAAUGGGUGGCCAAUAUUGCGAUUGUGCCAAAGAAAGAUGGAAAAGUCCACAUGUUUCUCGACUAUAGAGAUUUGAAUAAAGCCAGUUCGAAAGAUAAUUUCCCUCUGUCACACAUUGAUAUAUUGGUAGACAAUACUGCUAAGUUCAAAGUCUUUUCGUUUAUGGAUCGAUUUUCCGGAUAGAAUCAGAUCAAGAUGUCACUCGAAGAUAUGGAUAAGACCACAUUCAUUACACCUUUGGGAACAUUCUGUUAUAUAGUGAUGCCUUUCGCUUUGAAGAAUGUUGGUGCAACUUACUAAAGAGCACUGAUUACUCUUUUCAUGAUAUGAUGCAUAAAGUGAUUGAAGUUUAUGUAGAUGACAUGAUUGAUAAAUCGAUUGAUGAAGAGGAAAAUGUUGAGCAUUUAUUGAAGCUAUUCCGGUGUUUGAGGAAGUAUAAACUCCGAUUGAAUCCCAAUAAGUGUACUUUUGUUUUUUGUUCCGGUAAGUUGUUGGGCUUUAUUGUCAGUGAGAAGGGUAUUGAAGUUGAUCCUGCCAAGGUUAAAGCAAUAUAAGAGAUGCUUGCGCCCAAAACUGAGAAGCAAGUCAGAGGUUUUCUCGGCCGCUUGAAUUAUAUUCCCAGAUUCAUUUCACACAUGACUGCCACAUGUGCACCUAUAUUCAAGCUUCUUCGGAAAGAUCAGUCUUGUGAUUGUACCAAAGAUUGCCCGAAAGCUUUUCACAAUAUCAAGGAAUAUCUGCUUCAACCUCCGAUUUUGUCUCCACCCGUCGAAGGAAGAUCGUUGAUCAUGUAUUUGACUGUGCUUGAAGACAGUAUGGGUUGUGUUCCUGGUCAGCAAGAUGAGACUGGAAAGAAAGAAUUUGCAAUUUACUACCUCAGUAAGAAGUUCACCGACUAUGAGACUCGGUAUUCUAUACUUAAGAAAACUUGUUGCGCAUUAGCUUGUGCUGCUAAGCGUCUGCGUCAGUAUAUGUUGAAUCAUACCACUUGGUUGAUAUCCAAAAUGGAUCCAAUCAAGUAUAUAUUUGAGAAGCCUUCUUUAACAGGUAGAAUUUUCCGUUGGUAGAUGUUGUUAUCAGAGUAUGAUAUCGAAUACCGAUCUCAGAAAGCGAUCAAAGGUAGUAUCUUGGCUGACCAUUUGACUCACCAACCAAUUGAAGAUUAUUAGUCAAUGUAGUAUGAUUUUCCUGAUGAAGAGAUCUUGUACCUUAAAUGAAAGAUUGUGAUGAACCAUUGCUUGAAGAGGGCCCAGAACCUGGUUCCCGUUGGGGCAUGGUAUUUGAUGGAGCUGUUAAUCAAUAUGGAAAUGGCAUUGGGGCAGUGAUUAUUACUCCUCAAGGCACCCAUCUACCAUUUACAGCUAGAUUGACUUUCAAGAAUAUGAAGCUUGCAUUAUGGGACUUGAAGAGGCCAUGGAUCUCAGAAUCAAGAAUUUAGGUGUCUUUGAAGAUUCAGCUUUGGUUGUGAAUCAAAUUAAAGGUGAAUGGGAGACGAAUCAACCCGGUUUGAUACCAUAUAGAGAUUAUGCGAGGAGGAUUUCAACUUUCUUUACAAAGGUUGAAUUUCAUCAUAUCCCUCGAGAUGAAAACCGGAUGGCAGAUGAAUUAUGCGAGGAGGAUUUCAACUUUCUUUACAAAGGUUGAAUUUCAUCAUAUCCCUCGAGAUGAAAACCGGAUGGCAGAUGCUCUUGCAACAUUGGCAUCAAUGAUUAUAGUGAAGUAUUGGAAUGAGGUUUCCAAUUUGAUUGUAAUGCGUCUUGAUAGAGCAGCACAUGCGUUUGCUGUUGAAGAAGUUAAAGACGAGAAGUCGUGGUAUUACAACAUCAAAUGUUUCCUCCAAAGUCAGAUAUACCCGUCUGGGGAAUCUUAGAAAGAUAAGAAGACUUUGAGAAAAUUAGCCGACAAUUUCUACUUGAAAGGUAAUAUAUUGUACAAGAGAAAUUUCGACAUGGUUUUGCUCAGAUGCAUGGAUAGACACGAAGCAGACUUGUUGAUGACCGAAGUGCAUGAAGGUUCCUUUGGUACUCAUUCCAAUGUACAUGCAAUGGCGAAGAAAAUCCUACGAGCAGGUUACUAUUGGCUGACAAUGGAAUCUGACUAUUGCAAGUUUGCGAAGAAAUGCCAUAAGUGUCAAAUAUAUGCGGAUAAGAUUCAUGUUCCUCCCAGACUGUUGAAUGUUAUUUCCUCCCCAUGGCCUUUCUCCAUGUGGGGAAUUGAUAUGUUUGGCAUGAGUGAGCCUAAAGCUUUAAAUGGGCAUCGUUUCAUUUUGGUGGCAAUUGACUACUUCACAAAAUGGGUUGAAGCGGCAUCGUAUGCAAAUGUAACCAAGCAAGUUGUUGUAAGGUUUAUCAAGAAUCAGAUCAUAUGUCGUUAUGGUGUGCCAAGUAAGAUCAUUACUGAUAAUGCAAAUGUAACCAAGCAAGUUGUUGUAAGGUUUAUCAAGAAUCAGAUCAUAUGUCGUUAUGGUGUGCCAAGUAAGAUCAUUACUGAUAAUGGAUCGAACUUGAAUAACAAUAUGGUGGAAGCUCUGUGCAAAAACUUCAAGAUUGCACAUCAUAAUUCUUCUCCCUACAGACCCAAGAUGAAUGGGGCUGUUGAAGCUGCAUAUAAGAACAUCAAGAAGAUUAUUUAGAACAUGGUUGUGACGUAUAAGGAUUGGCAUGAGAUGCUCCCAUUUGCUUUGCAUGGGUAUCGUACAUCCAUCCGCACUUAAACAGGGGCUCCCCUUUCUCUCUUGUAUAUGGUAUGGAAGCAGUGCUCCCCGUAGAGGUUGAGAUUCCUUCAUUACGUGUGCUCAUAGAAGCCAUGCUGUCUGAGGCUGAAUGGGGUAAGGCCAGGUUUGAUCAGUUGAAUUUAAUUGAAGAGAAGAGAUUAACUGACAUGUGUCAUGGUCAAUUAUAUCAGCAAAGAAUGAAGAAAGCUUUUGACAAGAAGGUCAGACCUCGGGUAUUCAGAGAAGGUGACCUUGUGCUCAAGAAGAUUUUAUCUUUUAAACCAGAUUCUAGGGGGAAAUGGACUCAUAAUUAUGAGGGCCCAUAUGUUGUGAAGAGAGUCUUUCAGGCGACACUUUGAUUCUUACAACUAUGGAUGGUGAAGAGUUCACUCGACCUGUGAACGCAGAUGCAGUCAAGAAAUACUUCGCCUAAAGAAAAGGAAAAGAACAACUCGUUAAGUUGAAAACCCCAAAGGGCGGCUUCGGAAAAAAUUGAGCGUUUCGGUGGAUUGAAAACCUGAAAGGGAGAUUCAGGCAAAAAUUAGAGACAUAAAACAGAAAGAAUUUCCUGAUAAGUUGAGUACCCCACCUUGGGGAAACUUAUGCAAAAAUUAGGGAUUAUGGCAAGUAACUGCAGUCUGCUGAUCUUCCAGCGUUGGAAAUAUUUUGUUGAGCACAAGGGUUGACAUUGAGUCAUCAUCCCCAACAGCGGUCAAGAGCAUAGAGGAUGUCAAGAGUUGUUGGAAGGAUUAGUGGUCAUUUGUAUUCAUUAUAACCCUUUCCAUGUAAAUUACCAUAUUCAACUUUGUAAAGAUCUAUGGAGUCUUGUCCUUUACAAACUACCAUUCUAUUAAAUAAAGUUGAGCUUUUAUCCAAUUGUUUCUACUCCUAUUUACUUCAGCCAAAUAGUGUUAAAUUUUAUUAUGAUCAUUUUUGAAAUUAAAAUUUUUAAUCAAAAAUAAUUUUCUUAAGCAUAUAAAAUCAAUUAAAAAGAAGUAUCAACAGCACUUCGAAGAGUAGCAAGUCCUUAAGUGUGAAGCAAUAAGGGUUUGUGGCGGUAAAUUCAUGAUCAUCAAGCUAUGGAUAACAAGAGUCGCCACCGCGCUUUUAUUGUUUCCAAGGGAAAAAGGGAAAAAAGUACGAACAAAACCCAAAAGUAAGAAGUUUUCAAAUCAAAACUAAUAAAAUGUCAGAGAUUACAGGUAAGGGGGUUGGUUACACAGAGGGAAGGUGCUAGCACCCAAAGUGUCCUAGGUACUAUUUCAAAUCAAAACUAAUAAAAUGUCAGAGAUUACAGGUAAGGGGGUUGGUUACACAGAGGGAAGGUGCUAGCACCCAAAGUGUCCUAGGUACUCCUAGGGAGCCCUUUUUGUGUGCAUAUGUAUUUGGUACAAAAAUGAUGUUUACAAACAAAUAGAAUUGGGGGAUGAGAAAAGAAUUCAAUUAAUUAUAUUUUUGUGUUUGGCAAGACCUUCAGACUUGUGCCUGCGUACCAACAUAAGAAUGAGGGAUCAAAACCUCGUAGUUCGUGAUACAAACUUCAAAGUGGAUGAUUGUUUUUAACAAAAAAAAUUAAGUUUGAAAGGUACAAAGGCCUAAAAAUGGUUUUAAUGAGUUAGUUCUUUUUGGCUUUUUGAAAGUUUAAGUUAAAUAUAGUUAAGUUUAUUUACAGGUUUGAUUUAAGAAAGAGAAGUUUGAAAAUGCAAUGGCAUAAGGCCAAAGUCUCUACCUUUUUGCAAAGUGGUCAAAGUUUAGAACAAAACAAGUUCAAAUAAAGAAGAGUUUUUAAAAGGGAGGGAGAGAUUUUGAAAUUAAAGAAAUGGGGAGGAGAUGAAGAGACUAAUCCUAUGCACAAAAUUAAAAGUUAAGAGUUGAAAAGAUCUGAUCAAUGGGUAGCAAUCCAAUAGACAUGAAUGUCAAUAGAAACCCAGAUUCCCUUGGACAUUGAGAAUCAAGCAACACACGAAUGUACAAUUAUAUUAUCUUGAAGAGCAAUGCAUCAAAUAAAGAUAGCCACGUCCAACCUUUAGCCAGUCCAUGAUCUUCUUCAAAUUAGCCCAUGUAAUAGAUGAAUUCCAUAAGUCACAGGUUCAAAAUAACUGCUUCACAAUUAUCAUGUUGCAGAUGAACUCAAAGGGAUCUUGAAUGAUAUAUCAGAUAAAGUUCCAAACUGUAAGCACUUGGUUUCACAAAAAAGUUGGCAUUGGCCAAGUCCUUUAGCAUAGGAAUGUUGCCUAAGUUCUAAGUCCAUUUGUCCAAGAUCAAGCCAACAGUCCACACAAACGUUUUUAGGGUUUUUGUUAUUAUUAUGUACAUUAAUGGUCAAUGACCACACAAACAAGCAAAGUAUAGACAUACAAGACAUAUCACACAAUAUGGUCCAAAUGGACAAAGUGAAAAUUGCAUUAACACAAACAAUUAGAGUGGUAUGAAUAAUGGCAAAUGAAUAAAGACUAAAAUUAAAUGACAUUAAAGUAAAUGGCUUUAAAUUAAACGUUAGAUGCUAAUGAGUUAGAAGUUAGUAUUGUUUUGCUUUUGCUUUUUAUUUGAAGUCAUUCUUUGGAGAACACUCAAGCCACAUAUCACAAGCAUGAAUCCUUGAGCCAAUACAUCUUCCAAAGGAAGAAAAAAACGCCAAGUAUCCACACAAUACCGUGAAAGAGAGGAGACUUAAAAUCUCACUAACUAGAAUGAUAUGCCUUUUGUGUCACAAAUUUAGCGCUAUGUUAAGCAAUCGUAAUUGGAAUUAUGUAGAAGUCACAAUUAUUUGAGGUCGGGCAAUAGAUUUUUGGUGUUAAUGCAUAUUAGAGACAUAGUAUAAUGGACUAUGAUCAUGAAACAUACCACAAACAAAAAGAAUAUGCAAAAGAGGUGGCCUAAUCUCAUCCAUACUUAUGUUGAUUUUUCAGUCAUUUAGCCUUAGGACUUUGUGAUAUCAUAGGCUAAAUGAGAUGAAUGCAUAAAGAAGGGGAAUGAGAUGAAAAGGGAGGGGAAUGGAUCAAAACUCAAAUUGUUCAAAGAAGGACUUUUACCAAAUUAAUAUCAUCCAUUCAUUUUGGGAGAUGGAAUGUACAUUCCAUCAAUCCCCUAAAUCCAAUGAUAUUAACUUGACAAAGUCAAAUCAACCUUGACCAAGGCCUAACAACAAAAUUCAUUUUGGGAGAUGGAAUGUACAUUCCAUCAAUCCCCUAAAUCCAAUGAUAUUAACUUGACAAAGUCAAAUCAACCUUGACCAAGGCCUAACAACAAGAGUCAAACUCAAACAAGUCAUCACAACAAGUCAACACAAUUAAUGGGCAUUUAUUCAAUUUAAAAAUACUAAAAUAAUACAUUUAAAUUAAAUAUGGUUUAUCAAAUUCCUAAAACUCCGUCAAAACACCAAAGAAAUGGACAUGAGAUUUAUCAUAGGUCAAACAAGGACAAAGUACCUUGGAGAAAAAAUUUCAGAAUUUUUAAAGACUUAAAAGUAUUUUUAAACAAUUAAAAAUAAUCAUAAAAUCAAUUAAAUCAUGAAAAAUUUUAAUUCAGAAUAUGAAAGAGGAAAUUUUUUGAAAUUUUUUGGUGAAACUCUCGUAUUUUUUGAUCAAUAUUAAAAUUAAUAUGAAUUAAUGAAAAUAAAAGGAUUAAAAUGAAAAUCAGAAAAUAGUAAAAAACGUGGACCACUUGAUCUCCCUCACUAAUUGAGGUGGUAGAUCAAGUGGCUCAGCGCGUGCGUUCCAUGUUGCACUGCAGUCAACACGGCGUAGGCUUGGUAAUCACAAUGGACGUGUGAGAUUAUAAUAUUUUAAAACAUAUCAAUGGCUCUAAACACUUCCAGCGCAUCGCCGGAGUCCAAAGGCCGGUCAUCUUCUCCGAUGACCCUGACCGGACUGGUUCACUCAUCACCAUCAAGAAAAUGAAAAUGGAGGACAUGAUCUGAAAGAAAAAAUGGCGUAGAGCAAGAAUCUGACCUCAAUUUCAACUAACUCCAAAUAUAUCAAAAUAUAUGAGGAGUUGAAUUUUGAGGUGUGUCAACUGAGUUUCUUUGAUUUGACCUCUAAGCAACUCAAUCUUCUUGCCUACAUUGGUAGGACUUCAGACAACCAAAGAUCCAAGAGAAUUGAGUAAAAUUGAGUGAGAAUCGAAGAGAUGAAGUUCUUACCCAGACGCCAUGCUCGUGAACAUGAUCUACAGGUUUUUACCAUGUCUGGCUAAAUCUUUCAAAGGUUAGAAUGUAAGGAUCGCGGUUAAAGAGAUGUUUCACAUAUUGCAUCUGUAGAAAUGCUUUAGGGGCUGCUUUGAUUCUUAAUUUGAGUUUUCUAAAACAAACUUGGAUAAUUUUAACUACUCAAGGAAUGCGAAAGCACCCUGGCUUAGUAACUAGGAAUUUUUAUCACUUUAAGGAAAAAUGAUUUUUGAAACUUUUUUCGGACGCGUUGAUAGAUUUAAAAUUAGGAAACUCCUUAGGUAAAAAUUUCUGAAUCAAAAUCACUUUUCAACUAAUCUUACAAGUCUUAUUUCUUAAAAAUAUGUUGAAUACUUUAGCGUUAUGCGCACCUUUUAUAAGUGACAAUAGAAGGCCUUAACUUAAGGGUAAACUCGGUUCUGAAUACGCGAAAGCGAUAGUUCCCGUUAAAUGGAUUAUUUUCAAGAGUAGAAAAUAUUUCCCCAUGAGUAGUUCUAUUUAUACAAUCAAAACAUCGUUUAACUGACGUGAAAUACAUUCAAGUGUCUCUUUAUCUGCACUAUGUUUAUCUUUUUCUUUAUUUACUGUUAUUUUGCGACAUCAAUAUCUCUUUUGUAGCGCCUUAGAUAAACAUCGUAACAAUAGUAAUUGAUAGAUUAAAUAUUUGGUCUCUAUGGGAUCGAUAUUCUUUUAUAUUACUCUGACGUGAUUCGUGCACUUGCGAAUAUAAUGAUCAAGUUUUUGGCGCCGUUGUCGGGGACCAACUUCGUCAAAUUUCGUACCCUGUUGUUACACCGUCUAAACUAAGGCAUUAUUAGCCGGUAAAUGUGAAGAACCCGUAGUACCGGAAAUUUAGUAUAUCCUUUAGCGGAACCCGAACGUUACACUCGUACAUGCCUCUUACUCAUCCGAAUUUAAGAAAUCUAUGGUCGAGAAUCGCGACCAGAGACCUCUUAAGGAAUUUGCCCAACCCUUUGACGAGAACCUAGUUCUAGUAUAGUAAACCCCUCAUUCCUGACAACAAUUUCGAACUAAAACCAUCUUUAGUGCAAUUAGUGCAACAGAACCAAUCCGCGGGUCUCGCUACUGAGAACCCAAAUCAACAUUUAAAAGUCUUUAUCCAACUAGCCAACACUUUUAAAUCCAACGGUGCUUCACCUGAUGUGAUUCGGUUAAGAUUAUUUCCUUUGUCACUUAGGGAUAGAGCACGUUCAUGGUUAGAUUCACUUCCAGCUAACUCAAUAACUACCUGGGAAGACCUUAGGAGAGUAUUCCUUGCUAAAUAUUUUCCCCCCAGUAAGACUGUUGUUCUUCGAAACCAAAUAACUAGAUUUACUCAAAACCAAGGAGAAUCACUUUUUGAAGCUUGGGAGAGAUACAAAGAAUUGUUAAGAGUCUGUCCACACCAUGGCCCAGAACAAUGGUUGAUCAUUCAUACCUUCUAUAAUGGACUCCAUUUUAACACAAAGAUGAGCAUCGACGCUGCCGCUGGUGGCACGUUGAUGAACAAACCUUACCCUGAAGCUUGUGACCUAGUUGAGGAUAUGGCCCAAAACCAUUACCAAUGGGGAACUAAACGAGCAUUAGUAGAGAAAAAGGAGACCCAAGGUGGAAUACAUGAGAUAAGUUCUAUGGACAUGAUGCAGGCAAAAAUGGACGCUUUAGCCCUUAAGGUCGAACAUAUUUCUACAAACUCUAACACCACAACGGUAGUCCACACAGAGUGUGAACUUUGUGGAUCUAAAGGACACCAAUCAGCGGAAUUGAACGACCUGAACACCGACCAAGUGAAUUACGCCCAAGGUAACCCAUUUUCAAACACUUACAAACCUGGAUGGAGGAAUCACCCGAAUUUUUCCUAUAAAAACCAGAACCCUAUCCAAAAUUAUGCACCUCAAAGACCACAAGGUUUUCAAGCCCAAAAACGAAAUCAACCUAUGCAAGUUUUGCCCCAGCAGCCUAACCUUGAGAAGAUCAUGGAGAACUUUAUAUCAGGCCAGACUCAAAAAAAUAAAGAAUUCCUAAACCAGAACAUUCACGUAAAUGAACUAAUAACGCAAUUAGGGACUAAGGUUGAUCAGAUCAUUACUCACAAUAAGAUGCUUGAAACCCAGAUCUCACAGAUAGCACAAAACCAAGUUUCACAAACUACACCUGGAGGACAAUUCCCUGGACAACCUCAACUUAACCCUCGAGGGUAAGCUAACGUUAUCGCAUUACGAAAGGGGGCCGCUUACGAAGGGCCUCGUAACGCAGCAAUGAGCGAGUCCAAAGCUUCUAAAGAAAGUAUACCUACCAACCAAGAAGAGGAACCGGUGGAACCCGAGAAACAAACCGACCAAGAAGGAGAAGCCAAGGAUAAAACUUAGAAACUACCACCCCCGUACAAACCACCAAUUCCAUAUCUACAAAGACUUAAACAAACCAAAAUCAAUAACCAGUACCAAAAGUUUAGAAAAGUAAUAGAGAAGCCAUCACCCAAAUUCCAUCUUACGCCAAAUUUCUCAAAGACAUCUUAACCAACAAGCGUAGGCUUGACGAUCCCAAACCCUUGGAAUGCAACUUUAUUUCCGAGAAUAAACUUGCUAAGAAGGAUCACCCAAAUUCCAUCUUACGCCAAAUUUCUCAAAGACAUCUUAACCAACAAGCGUAGGCUUGACGAUCCCAAACCCUUGGAAUGCAACUUUAUUUCCGAGAAUAAACUUGCUAAGAAGGAGAAAGACUCUGGGAGUUUUUCUAUACCUUUCAUUCUAGGGAGUCAUGUGAUCGAUAAAGCUUUCAUAGACUUAGGCGCUAGUGUGAGUUUAAUGCCCUUAGUUGUGUGUAAAAGGUUAAACUUAGGAGAAUUACAACCAACUAAGAUGUCCCUCCAAUUAGCCGAUAGAUUUGUUAAGUAUCCUGUAGGCAUAUUAGAAGACAUCCCCGUUAGGAUCGGUCAACUUUAUAUCCCAACAGAUUUUGUGGUCAUGGAUAUCAAGGAAGACGACGAUAUCCCUAUCCUUUUAGGUAGACCAUUUUUAUCAACAGCCGAAGCUAUAAUAGUUGUUAAAAGAGGAAAAUUAACUUUCGAAGUAGGAGAUGAAAAGAUAGAGGUUAUUCUUUCAAAGUUCCUGAUGGCACCAAUCAUAGGAGAUGCAUGUUACGCGAUUGAUAUCAUAGAUGAAUGCAUAAGGGAAUUUGAUCAAGAAGAACCUAUGAUCGGAGCAUUUUCAAACCCGAAUGAAAAGGAUGACGAGCCAAAGGAAACGUAACCUUACACUAACGAAUGUUUGGCCCUUACUCCUGACCUUUCACCAAAUUAUCAAAAACCAGCUCAAGAACUUAAGGAAUUGCCCAAGAACCUAAGGUACGAGUUUUUGGAUAAAGAAAUGAACCGCCCUGUAAUAAUUAGUCCCACCUUAAACUAAGACGAGAUAAACCAACUCUUAAAUGUUUUACGAAGUUCCCCUCUGGCUUAGGAUACAACAUCUCUGAUUUAAAAGGUAUAAGCCCAUUCGUGUGUGUGCACAGGAUCUCGCUAGAGGAGGACUCAAAACCUUAUAGAGAACAUCAGAGAAGAAUAAACCCUGUAAUGAGUGAGGUGGUAAAGAAGGAAGUCCUUAAACUGCUAGAAGCUGGUAUAAUCUAUCAGAUCUCUGAUAGUAAAUGGGUAAGUCCUGUACAUGUGGUACCCAAAAAGGGAGGCAUCAUAGUCGUGCAGAACGAGAAGGGAGAGCAUGUGGCUAAACGUAUAGAAGGAGGAUGGAGUAUGUGCAUAGACUAUAGGAAACUCAAUAAGGCAACUAGGAAAGACCAUUUUCCCCUUCCAUUCAUAGAUCAAAUGCAUUAGCGUCUUGCCAGACACUCUUACUUUUGUUAUCUGAAUGGAUAUUAUGGAUUUUUCCAAAUACCCAUACACCCUGAGGAUCAAGAGAAAAUAACCUUCACUUGUCCUUACGGAACCUUUGCUUACAGACGAAUGCCGUUUGGACUCUGCAAUGCGCCAUCCACUUUCCAACAUUGUAUGAUGUCAAUCUUCGCAGAUUAUCUCGACGGAAUUAUGGAAGUAUUCAUGGAUGACUUCUCGGUAUGUGGGUUUGACUUUGAGAAUUUCCUCAUUAAUCUUGAGAAAAUCCUAGAAAGAUGCGUAGAAGUUAACCUUGUAUUAAACUAGGAGAAGUGCCACUUUAUGGUUAAAGAAGGAAUAGUGUUAGGACAUAUAAUAUCUAAAAGAGGCAUUGAGGUCGACAAAGCAAAGAUAGAAGUGAUAGAAAACCUCAACCCUCCUAAGAUUGUUAGAGAAGUCCGUAGUUUUCUUGGACACGCUGGUUUUAACCGGAGCUUUAUCAAAGAUUUCUCUAAAAUAACAAAACCCCUGAUCGGCCUUCUGAUGAAAGACAUUAAAUUUAUUUUCAAAUAAAAAUGUAUCGAAGCCUUUAAUCAUUUAAAACAAGCGCUAAUUUCAGCGCCCAUUUUACGAACUCCGGUUUGGAUUCAACCUUUUGAAUUAAUGUGUGGUGCUAGCGAUUUCAUUGUAGGAGCUGUUUUAGGACAAAGAGAAAAUAAGAAGUUACAGGUGACAUAUUACGCUAGUAGAACCCUAGAUGCCGUUCAACUCAAUUAUACAACAACAGAGAAGGAACUCCUAGCUGUAGUUUUUGCAAUUGAUAAAUUUUGGUCUUAUCUUGUCGGAUCUAAGAUUAUAGUCUAUACAAACCAUGAGUCUAUCCGUUACCUUCUAAGCAAAAAGGAUGCGAAACCUAGGUUACUCAGAUGAAUCCUUUUGCUACAAGAGUUCGACUUAGAUAUCCGAGACAAAAAAGGAACAGAAAAUGUAGUUGCUGACCAUCUUUCCAGACUAGAGCAUUUGAAGCCAGACCGUUUACCUAUAAAUGAUGAUUUCACCUAUGAGAGAUUGAUAGCUAGGUUAGAUAUUGUUCCCCUUGAACCUGAUAGAGACAACUUGGGAACAAUUUAAGAGAUUAGCAAAGUACCAUGGUAUGCUGAUUUUGCGAAUUAUCUAGCCGAUGACAUCAUACCACGUGACCUCAAUUAUCAACAAAAAAGAAGUUCUUUAAAGAUGUAAGACAUUACUAUUGGGACGAACCACUCCAUUUUAAAAGAGGAACAAAUAAUAUCUUUCGACAUUGCGUCCCAGAAGAAGAAGUCAGAAAUAUCAUAGAGCAUUGUCACUCUUCACCCUAUGGUGGAUAGUCAAGCACAUCUAAGACAUACGCUAAGAUCCUUCAAGCUGGUUUUUAUUGGCCAACACUAUGGCGUGAUGUCCAUACUUAUAUUGUCAAAUGUGACUGGUGCCAGCGUGCUGGAAACAUCUCAAGACGCGACGAAAUGCCUUUGAAGAAAAUCCAAUAAGUGGAAUUAUUUGAUGUUUGGGGUAUUGAUUUCAUGGGACAUUUUCCAUCUUCGGUGGGAAACAAGUAUAUUUUGGUAGCCGACGACUAUGUGUCCAAAUGGAUAGAGGAUAUAGCCUCAACCACAAAGGACACAAGAGUAGUCAUCAAGAUGUUUAAAAAUAAUAUUUUCCCCAUAUUUGGAGAAACACGACUUGUCAUAAGUGAUGGUGGAUCACAUUUUAUAUCCAGGAUAUUCGAUAAACUCUUAAGAAACUAUGGAGUAAAACACAGAGUAGCAACACCAUAUCAUCCCCAGACUAAUGGUCAAGUGGAAGUAUCAAACAAAGAGAUUAAGCCAAUCUUGGAAAAAACUGUUUCAAUAUCCAGAAAAGAUUGGUCUGAAAAGCUAACAGAAGCAUUGUGGGCUUACAAAACUGCUUACAAAACCCCUAUUGGAACCACACCGUACCAGUUAGUCUAUGGAAUGCCAUGCCACUUACCUUUUGAACUUAAGCGCAAAGCAUAUUGGACCAUCAAGACCCUGAAUUUGGAUUACCUAGCAUCUGGAGAGAAGCGAAUCCUCGAUAUCCACAAAUUGGAGGAACUCCACCAGAACGCUUACGAGAAUGCCAUUAUAUACAAAGAAAGAACCAAACCAUGGCAUGAUAAAAGGAUUGUGAAAAAGGACUUUAAUAUAGGCGACUCUGUUCUCCUUUUCAAUUUCAGAUUACGGCUAUUUCCAGGUAAGUUGCAUUGGAGAUGGACAGGACCCUUUAAGGUUUCCAAAAUCUUCAAGUCUGGAGCAAUAUCAAGGAGGUGACAUCCCCACAUAAUGCCCUGGCCAUACUUUGAUCGACCCUCCAGUUCCUAGCUCUGAUAUACAAAGUUCAAAUCGUCAAGCUAACGAUGUUAAACAAGCGCUGCAUGGGAGGCAACCCAUGAUUUCUUUUUCCUUUACUUUACUUUUACUAUUUCAAUUUAUAUUUUGAUAUAUAUAUAUAUAUAUAAUAUAUAAUAUAAUAUAUAUAUUAUAUAUUAUAUAUAUAUAUAUAUAUAUAAUAUAUAAUAUAUAUAUAAUAUAUAUAUUAUAUAUAUAUAAUAAUAUAUAAUAUAUAUAUAUAUAUAUAUAUAUAUAUAUGUUUAGACUAACAGUUGCAAUGUUUACGAUUUCAGGUGUCCUCUAUUUUUAACCUAACUUUUUAGGAUGGAGAAUUUCGACACUAUGCCAGUUAUCUUUCAUGACCCACUACAGGAGCAACGCUAUGCCAUGCUUUCCCAGCCUCCAAUGCUGCCAACCAGAUAAUCUGACUCAAGCUGCAUGGAGGCAUAGGAAUUGAGCCUAGUGUCAUGCAUUUGUGCAAUCAGUUUCAUUGGGAUGAGUAUACUGAUGUGAUGCAUGUGACUUACAGGAACCUCACUUUGGAUUUCUUGAGCUCACUGAACUACGAGCCCUAUGUUGGUCACGCUAGUGAUGGCGGCUACAUUAAUUUCAGGUUGUUUGGGAUAAAAUACAUCUUUAACCACAAGCGUUUCGGUGACUUACUUGGAUUUCAGACUGCUUAUGAUGCCUCAUAUGAGCUCCCCAUGAGCUAUUUCCUGAGUAGAGACGUUGAGAAGUUCUGGAGUGACAUUACAUGUGGAGGUAGCCCUGACCCUUCCACCCAAAUCUCUAACAAGUUCCAUAAUCCUGCUUUCAGAUGAUUAUUGCCCACACCUUUCAGGGGAAGAGUGACGUUAAUACUCACGUAAGUGCUGAAGAUAUUUCCUUCAUGUAUUGUACCACUCAGUCACGCCCGAUACCUUGUAGAGCCUUUCUGAUCGAGAGUCUCUAUCUUAAUGCUAGCUCCGUUGUGAGUCCUAUACAUGUUGGAAGCACGAUAACUCAUAUAGCCUCCGCCCUAGAACUUGAUAGAAGACUAUUUCACCUAACAUCUUACUGUAGCUAUACUUUGAUGGAUAUUGACUUCUGUCUGGAUCGUGGCCUCAUAAGGAGAUCUUCUUUCCACCUGGAUCAAUACAGGCUCUUGUCGAGGGUGAGGCUAUCCACUACUUUACUUUACCAGACCCUCAGGUAACUUGUGUUUAUGAUCAGGCCAACUGGGCCUAUGCCAUAGAAGGCCAAGGCGAGAUAGUAGAUGAGCAGAGAAUCUCACCUGAAGCAGAGCAUCAUCCAACACCUACCAGAAUCAAAGUCCUCACCAAUAAUCCAAAUAUUCAAAGUCCAAACAUGCAUUCCGAGCUUGUUAAGCUUCAUAUGGAGAUAGCCCAGCUCCGCCAGGAGCUCGUUGACGUUGCUUUGCAGGUCGAAGUGUCAGAUGCCACACAUGGCACUAAAGCUGAUAUACUGAACAAUGAGAUCGCCGACCUUAGAUACCAGAUUAUAGAGCUCCGAGGAUCCGAUAUUGAGGAGACUACAUUAUUCCCUGGACACUGAUGAUAUCACCGACCAAGAGAUGCCGUUUGAUUUACCUAUUUCCCAUUAUUUAUUAUUUAUGCUUGUUUUUAUUUUUCCUUUUAACUUUAUGGUUGCUUUUCCUUUCCUAGGAUCUCUCCUCCUUCCAACUCCAUCAAAGUCCACGAAAAAUCCUAACUUUAUCAUUCCAACUCAAAACCAUUAUCAUUCCUAAACUUCACCCAUAAAUUUCCUACACCAAAAAACCCACUAAAACUCAAUUUUCACUUCCUCACCAUAACAACCCAUUUUUCUCUUCACUCACCAUCAAUGGCCAAAAUGGACUUCGACAACAUUAUCCUUCAUAGAGGAAAAUCCGGAGAGCGUCAAAACAAAAUUGUAUAAAAAUUGAAAUCACGGGAAAUUUCUAAGUUCCCUAAUUUACACUGUUCAUCCUAGCACUGCUAGCACGUCUGACACCGUAUAUUUUAGAGUGUUUAAUGUUGAAUACAAGUACAAUACUGAUCCUUAAUUGGAAAUAGGCAUAGCAGACGUUGAUCCCUAACUGGAAAUAGACGUAGUGGCUUGGAUUCUAAAUAUUGAAUCAGAAAGCGGUGGAAUGUUGGGUCCAUAUAGACGUUGAUCCUUAAUUGAAAAUAGGCGUAACAGACGUUGAUCCUUAACUGGAAAUAGACGUGGUGGCUUGGAUUCUAAAUAUUGAAUCGAAAAGCGGUGGAACAUUGGGUCCAUAUAGACGUUGAUCCUUAAUUGGAAAUAGGCGUAGCAGACGUUGAUCCUUAACUGGAAAUAGACGUAGUGGCUUGGAUUCUAAAUAUUGAAUCGGAAAGCGGUGGAAUGUUGGGUCCAUAUAGACGUUGAUCCUUAAUUGGAAAUAGGCGUAGCAGACGUUGAUCCUUAAUUGGAAAUAGACGUGUUGGCUUGGAUUCUAAAUAUUGAAUCGGAAAGCGAUGGAACGUUGGGUCCAUAUAGACGUUGAUCCUUAAUUGGAAAUAGGCGUAGCAGACGUUGAUCCUUAAUUGGAAAUAGACGUGGUGGCUUGGAUUCUAAAUAUUGAAUCGAAAAGCGGUGGAAUGUUGGGUCCAUAUAGACGUUGAAUCUUAAUUGGAAAAAGGCGUAGCAGACGUUGAUCCUUAAUUGGAAAUAGACAUAGUGGCUUAAAUUCUAGAUAUUGAAUCGGAAAGCGGUAAAAUGUUGGGUUCACAUUUCGGUACCACAUGCAUAGAGUCACAUGUCUUGCAUUGAGUCACAUUAGAGUUAUGUGAUAAUUGAGUGUAUGCAUUAUUGUGAUUGUGAAGUGUGUAUGAGAUAUGGUAAUUGAAUUUGAUGAUGAUUGGAUACAUAACUUGACAACAUAUGUGAUUAUGUGAUAAUUGUAGUUAUGUGUAUAUUUGAGAAUAUAAUAUUGGAUUUUAAUAUUGUACUCGUUGUGUUUGAUGGAUGUUUGAAACAUGUGAAAUAGAUGUUGAUGAAUAUUAUUUACAUGGUUAUAUGAAGUGUGAUGAAUUCCUUUAAUUGUUGAUUUAAUCAUUGUGCUUGAUUAUACUUAUUCAUAAUGAUUUGAAUUCUCACCCUUUCUGUUUGAAUGUUACCUUUACAUGGGUAUUGUGCAGAUACUCAGGAGCAGUAUUGUUGUAGUAAGUGAACGGUAGCACUCGAGGUUAGCUGGAGAGCUUAGGUGCUUUGUUUUAGAGACUAAGUAGUGAGCCAAUGCUCUGGUCAUGUAACACUGGGUAGAUUGGUAGUAUUGAACUCGUGUCUUAUUUGGAUACGUUUUAUGGGAUUACUUGUGAACAUGUUUAAUUGAAGAGAUUAUUGAGAGAUGAUCAUGGUAUGGGACAUGGAUCAUUUUAUGAAAUGCAUGGAUAUUCGUUAUUUUCCGAUGCGAAUGCAUAUUCUUGAAUAUUCAUGAUAAGUGAAAUGUGUUAUUUGAAAUAACCAGGUGUAUUGUAUAUUGAUGAUUAAUGAGGUUUGGUUUUUGAAAGCUUUUAGUUUUUGAAAGCUUUUAGUUUUUGAAAACGUCGAUGUGACGCCCUUUUGUUAUAUGCGUGCUUAUUUACUCUGAUUAUAUGUUAAGUAUUUUGGGGUAGAAAAUGGGUGUUACACUGUUGAUGUUCCAACAGUUGUCCAUAAGUCCACGUAAUAUGCUCACUUUUGUUUAAAAACCCUUCUCCCAGGCCAAAAGGAGAAGUGAUGACAUUGUUGGCACAUUAAUACAAUGAUAUUCAUUCAAAAAUUACAUGUUAAAUGUUUGUUUUUCCAAAUUUUUUUUUCUUUUUUUCUUUUUUGCAUGAAAUUGGUGAUCACUAAAAAGUCCUAAAAAAGAGAAUAAAAUCAGUCUUUUCAUCUGCAUAAUGAUUUUCCUUGUUUGAAUUCUAAAAUCUCUUUUAUAUAUAAAAUCAUUAUGCAUGUUGAUCAAAUCCAUUGAACAUAAUGAUCCAACACCAACUCCCAACUUUGAGUUCCCUGUAUUUAAGGACGAAGAAGAUGAUGUUGAAGAGAUUCCUGAUGAGAUUACCCGUUUGCUUGAGCACGAAGAGAAAAUCAUCCAGCCGUAUCUUGAGAAUCUGGAAACAAUCAACUUGGGGUCUAAAGAUUGUGUUCGAGAAGUGAAGAUUGGUGCACUCCUGUAAGAGUCUGUCAAGAAGGGGUUGAUUGAGUUGCUACGAGAAUAUGUUGGCGUCUUUGCCUGGUCGUAUGAAGACAUGCCUGGUCUAGAUACUGAUAUCGGGCAACAUUUCCUGCCUUUGAAGCCUGAGUGUUUGCCUGUGAAGCAGAAGCUCAGAAGAACUCAUCCUGAUAUGGUAGUGAAGAUUAAAGAAGAAGUUCAGAAGCAAAUUGAUGUGGGGUUUCUGGUGACUUCUACAUAUCCUCAAUGGGUGGCCAAUAUAGAAGCAGAAGCUCAGAAGAACUCAUCCUGAUAUGGUAGUGAAGAUUAAAGAAGAAGUUCAGAAGCAAAUUGAUGUGGGGUUUCUGGUGACUUCUACAUAUCCUCAAUGGGUGGCCAAUAUUGUGCCCGUACCUAAGAAAGAUGGAAAAGUCUGAAUGUGUGUGGACUAUCGAGACUUGAAUAAAGCUAGUUCGAAAGAUGAUUUUCCUCUAGCACAUAUUGAUAUGUUGGUAGACAAUACAUCUAAAUUCAAAGUCUUCUCAUUUAUGGACGGAUUUUCUAGUUAUAAUCAAAUCAAAAUGGCACCCGAAGAUAUGGAGAAGACAACAUUCAUCACACCUUGGGGAACAUUCUGUUAUCGAGUGAUGCCCUUCGGUUUGAAGAACGCCAGAGCCACGUAUCAACGAGCUAUGACUACCUUUUUCCAUGAUAUGAUGCAUAAGGAGAUCGAGGUGUAUGUUGAUGAUAUGAUUGCAAAGUAGAGAACGGAAGUUGAACAUGUAGAGCACUUGUUGAAGUUUUUUCAGCGUUUGAGGAAGUACAAACUCCAUCUGAAUCCGAACAAGUGUAAAUUUGGAGUCCGUUCCGGCAAGUUAUUGGGCUUUAUUGUUAGUGAAAGAGGUAUUGAAGUUGACCCUGCCAAGGUCAAAGCAAUACAAGAAAUGCCUGCGCCCAAAACUGAGAAGCAAGUCCAAGGGUUUCUUGGCCGUUUGAAUUAUGUUUCCAGAUUUAUAUCCCACAUGACUGCCACAUGUGCGCCAAUAUUCAAGCUCCUUCGGAAAGAUCAACGUCAUGAUUGGACCGAGGAUUUCCAGAAGGCCUUUGACAGUAUCAAAGAGUAUCUGUCCGAGCCUCCGAUCCUGUCUCCGUCUGUUGAAGGGAGACCUUUGAUUAUGUACUUGACCGUUCUUGAAGACACUAUGGGUUGUGUAUUGGGUCAGCAAGAAUAAUUAGGGAAGAAAGAAUAUGCUAUAUACUAUCUGAGUCAGAAGUUCACUGAUUGUGAGUCUCGGUACUCAAUGCUUGAGAAGACAUGAUGUGCUUUGGCUUGGGCUGCUAAGCGCUUGCGCCAUUAUAUGUUGAAUCAUAUGACUUGGUUGAUAUCAAAAAUGGAUCCAAUCAAGUAUAUCUUUGAGAAUCCUGCUUUAACUGGGACGAUUGCCCGUUGGCAGAUGUUGUUGACUAAGUAUGACAUUGAGUAUCGAGCUCAGAAAGUUGUUAAAGUUAGUAUCUUGGCUGACCACUUGGCACAUCAACCAAUUGAGGAUUAUCAGUUU